This 76584-nucleotide long non-coding RNA is filed under the name Citrus maxima (pomelo). RNAcentral's name for it is "long non-coding RNA (CMAX_LNC001181)". The stretch from base 5574 to 5680 matches the Rfam family "Plant small nucleolar RNA R71". The record is from RNAcentral. Lineage: Eukaryota; Viridiplantae; Streptophyta; Magnoliopsida; Sapindales; Rutaceae.
AAAAGCAUACAGUCAGAAUUCCAAGAAAUUGCAAUAUAGAAUUUUCUGGCAUCAAUCUCACAAUUACAGGAUAAAAAUACAUGGCAAGUAUAAAACCAUGAACAGGCAUUAUUAGCUCAGUUUGCGUUGUAGAUGAACCCUCCAAAUCCAUUGGUCUUCCAUUCGGCUGACCUGAUGACCUAAAUGGACUAUCAUGCUCAAACCCUUCAUAAUCAACAAAACUUGAAUUGCAAACUGUUGUUUGUCUGAUUAGGUAUACCAUGUAAUAUACACAACGGAAUCCAGGUAAUAACUAACCGUGCUACAAAUGUCAAUGACAAAUAAAGUUCCUAGUUUUUUCAAAAAACCGCCUAGGCAGUGCGCACCCCGCCACACAAGGCCUCAUAGUCCAGUUAAUUUGCUCACGCUGUUGCCAGCCAAAGAACCAUGAAGAGGAAAAGCUGCAAGGAGCCUUUGCCAGGUUAGUCAGGAAGGGCUUCAAUAGAGUGUAACAUCUCAGUAGCUCAAUUCAUGUACCCCUAGCUGUGCAUGUAAGAAGAAAUGCUCUUCUGAAUAAAGUAUUGAUACCAGAUCUACUGUUGUUUCUUCAGAACUUGUUAGGAAAGAUUACUAGCAGGUAAGUUAGACGCAUAUACAUACUACUAUAGGAAAUUGAACAGCUCCUUACAUAAUCGGUGCAACUUCUUAUACAAACAAGUUUCCCUCCCGGCAAUAGAUAGACAUCAAUAUUCAGACACCUGAGGGUGCUGAAUGUUAGAAACUUUACUUCCUCCCAACGUAAGCUCCCAGUUUAGACACAUUAGGAUUCCCAAAUGAUAGCUCAGAUGACCCCGUAACAAACAUGAGACUUCCAGGGGCCCAUUUUAUGACAGGAGGCUCUGUAUGAAAACUCAUCCAACUGCUCUGUAUGAAAACUCAUCCAACUAACAACCCUGACAAGAAAAAUAAACAAAACCAAACAAUGUUUAUAUAAUAACAAUACCAACAUCAAAAGAAUAUAGUCUUUGGAUACAGAACACAUUAUGCAAACUGGUGCAUAAGUUGAAUGCCCAAAUGUAGAUUCAAAAGCAUUGUUGGUUUGCCUAGAAGACAAUGAAUGCUAUGACUGGGGUCAGUGUAAGGGAAAUAACAUCCCUUUGAAUUCUAAGCAUUCAAAAGGCAUUAGAAUCAAGGAAUUUUGCUUAUCAUACCCCUUUCCCGCUCCGUACGCUCCAAGCAUAUCCACUACCAUCAUCAGAACCUUCCAAAACCAAGAAAGUAAAAUUAGCAUAAAGAGUGCAACUGUUGCGUAAAUUAGCAAGUGUACUAGUCGGCACAAGUAAUAUAAUGUAGAGUAGAGUAUUGUCCCACAGAGAUUGUAUAUCCUAUUAGUUACCGAAAUUAUUCUAAUCCUAAUUUAUUUGAACAAUCAAAUAAGCGAAUUUAAAUUGAAAAUUAAAAUAACUAAAAAUCAAAUAAAGAUACAAGCAGUAAUAGAAAUCACCAAGAGAUUAAAACACUAGGACAUUCGAUUUCACCAUAACCAAUCCAAUUUAAUCCUCUAUCUAUGCUAUUAAAGUUUAUUACCCAUGCUGACAGUAAAUUUCCUUAAUUUAUUCAAUAUCCUCUCUCGAGUAAUAUAAAAAAUAUCUCCACAUAUCAACCCACUAUAUUUCUAUGUGAAUUUAAAUAUGCAAAGAUUCAUUAAGUUCUAUGGAAAUUCUUAGACAAAACUGCACGAAUCACGUUGGCACAUCUUUGUCUUUCGUUCAAUUCAUGACAUCCAUUACACAGAGCAAAAAUACAUAAAUCUCAUCUCGGUCUCAUUAUGUAUCCUCAAAUCAUUCAAAUAUUGGCCAUAUAUUUAAAAGCAUUAAGCACAAUAAUGAACACUCAAUCAUGGAAUAAUUAAUUAAAAAUAACAUAGAUUUAUGGAAUUAAAUCUUCAUAGUUAGGCUACAUCGUAGCCCUAGUAAAAUAAAUUAGUUCAUGGAAAUAUAAAGAGAAUUCAUUAAUUUAAUCAGAAACAUUCAAGCAAGAUAAUAGAGAAGAGGAAAAGAAAAACUUAAGAAUUAAUGCGUCUUCCUCCUGCUCCAAAUUAUUCCUGCUACUCUCGGUUUUGCUCAAAACUUGCGGCUGCUGCUCUUCUCUUUAUUUUCUCUUGGCUGCCAUCUUCUCCUUGUGCGGCUGCCUUUCUUCCCUUUUAUAAUGUUGUGGUUUCUUCCAAAUCCUUAAAGGAAAAGGAUUGCAAAUCCAGCCCACGAAUCCUUAAAUGAAAAUAAUUAAAAACAAAAGCCCAACCACUUAUUUCAUUCCUAAGCCAAUCAGAAUUAAAAGCAAAAGCCCUUCCACGUGUUGCAUGCCAUAUUCUCUUUGUAAAUGAAUUCUUCAAUGCUUCCUCACUUGCUGCCAUAUUUGUGAACCAAAUAUUCAAUGCUUCCUCCAUGUGUUGCAUGCAUGCUUAAUGAUUAAUUAAAUUAAAUCCUUUGUGAUUUGUUCCAAUUAAUUCUUCUUUAAUCCCGUAUUGUACCUAAAAUAAGAAAAUAUAAAAAAUAAAAAUAAAAUUAACAUAAUAAAACAUAAAAUUAAGUUAUGAAAGCAUUAAAAUAAUAGAUAAAUUAUGAGCACAUCAAAUACCCCCAAACUUAACAUUUUGCUAGUCCUCGAGCAAAAAUUAAAAUAAAAACUACGAAUAGAAAAUCCUAACGAAACCACUUUCGCAGGUGAUCGCGAUUACAUUUAGCGUAUGCAACAAGCCUUUAAACCCCUAGGCGGCCCUAGUGGACGAGUUAUAGUCUCGUGAGGGUUUCCAGCGAUGAUACCCACAAACAUUAUCAAAAAUGCCUCAAAGAUUGCAUAAAGUAUAUAGCUCAAAGAAAAUUAAAAAUAUUAGCAAAGUUCUAACUUUAAUUCAAUGGUCAGCCUCAUCUCAUAUUGGAUUCUUGUGUUGUAUGUGAAUCAAUUCAAUCAAUACUCAUUCUCAAGAUCUUCAACAUCAACAGUCUUUGUCUCGAAUAAUAAACAGAGUAGGUCAAACUAACCUCAUCAUCUUGAUCUUUUUUUUUUUUUCUCAGGCAUAAAUUGCUUUUUUUUCUCUUUUUUUUUUUUUUCAUUUCUUUGUCCAUAGUCAGAAGCUUUCACUCUACCCCUUAAGGUAGCAUUCUUCUCAUGGUAGAUUAUCCUCUACAUAAUGGUGGUACAUAGGCCCAAAUUACUCAAGGAUAGCUUCACUCUUAAGGGUUGUAGGUAGCUAUUUCUGACUAUGGUGCCUGGGUAAACUUAAGUAAUAUAGAAUCAAGUCAAACAGUCAUUACUCAAUCUAAAAUUCUCAACUCAAGCUGUACCAAUCUCAAAUCUCAAGUCAAAAUUCUAAAAGAAUCGAUAUAAGUGCGCAAGAUAUUUAAAGAAUCUCAAUCAAGACGAAACUAAUACAAGAAUCAAGUAUAAACUAAAAUAAUAUUCAUCCCUUUCUAAGAACCAUAUUCAUUUUCAAUCAUAAACUCAUCAUAGGCAUUAAAAUCUUUUUUUUUUUUUUGGAAUAAAAUGAAAAGCAAAUAUUCCCACCCCCAAACUUAAAAUAAACAUUGUCCUCAAUGUAAAGAAAAAGAAAAGGAAAAGAAAAACUCCCCCGGUUUUGCACUUGAAGAUGGAAAGUUGUAGCUGAGUCGUUGAAAGGCAUGUGGAAAGUUGAUGUUCAUCGACCCCCAAACUCGUGCAAAAUCUAGAUAAAACAAAAUAAAAUAAGUAAAAGAAAAGAAAAAGAAUAUGAAAAAAAAAUUUGAUAAUAAUAAAGUUUAGAAAGCUUGGGUUGCCUCCCAAGAAGCGCUUAAUUUAUAGUCAUUAGCUUGACUGUCUCUGGAAAGAUUGUUCAAGGAGGCUCGUGGAUGCAAUGAGAUGAUAUAGAUGGACCUUGCACAAAGUUCUUGCAAUUAGGCCUCUUCCCACGAAAAUUAGGAGAUGAAUCUUCAUUAAUAGAUUGCUUAUGUAUUGUAUAAAUGUCAGGAGGGUCAGAUAAAUCUUUAUCCUUCAAUGUUUUGGCCAUUUUUUUAUCCAUGGUGUCUUCUUGAAAACAAUCUUUGAGUUCAAUUGGAUACUUGAUAGGUGUGUACACAUUGAAAAUGACUUGCUCAUUUUGAACUCUUAAAAUCAAUUUCCCUUCUUGAACAUCAAUCAAAGCUCUUCCUGUAGCUAAGAAUGGUAACUCUAUAUCUUCAGCCAUAUCCAAGACAAUAAAAUCUGCAGGGAAUAUAAACUUGUCAACUUUCACAAGCACAUCCUCAAUUAUGCCUCUUGGGUACUUUAUAGAUCUAUCUGCCAAUUGUAAGGUAACAGUUGUUGCCUUAGGUUCACCCAAACCUAAUUUCUUGAAAACAGAAAAAGGCAUCAAAUUAAUGCUUGCACCUAAAUCACACAAAGUUUUAUCAAAAUAACAAUUUCCAAUAGUGCAUGGAAUAUUAAAACUCCAUGGAUCUUUCAGCUUUGGUGGCAAUUUAUUUUGUAAGAUGGCGGUGCAAUCCUCAGUCAGCAUUACAGUUUCAUGCUCCUCAAGUUUCCUCUUGUUGGACAACAUUUCUUUCAUAAAUUUGGCAUAAAGCGGCAUUUGUUCCAAAGCAUCUGUAAAAGGAAUAUUAAUAUGCAAUUUCUUAAACACAUCAAGAAAUUUUAAAAAUUGCUUAUCUAUGUUAUUUUUUCGGAGACGCUGAGGAAAAGGGAUUGGAGGAACAUAGGCCUUGACUGGUGUUGCUAGUUUAGGUUGUGGUAUUUCUGAACUUGCUGCCUUUGAAACCUUAGUGGUGUCUUCAGUUUGUUCUUCAUCAACUUUCUUUGCUUCUUUUCGCGGCUCAUCAAGUUGUUUACCACUCCGAAGUAUAAUUGCAUUAACUUGCUCCUUUGGAUUUGUCUCGGUGUUGCUUGGCAGAGAGCCAUGUUGUCUACUGGAUAGCAAGUUUUCAAUCUGACCCACUUGUACCUCGAGGUUCCGAAUUGAUGCAGCUUGAUUUUGAAAAGUUGUCUCUGUUUUGGUCAUGAAUUGAGACAUGUUUGUUGUAAGCUGGGUAAGAGCAUCUUCUAAGUUUGACUUCUUUUCUUGUGGUUGGAACCCUGGAGGUGGUGCCAAUGUAUUCUGAGUGUUGCUCCAUGACAAAUUCGGAUGGUUUCUCCAGCCAGGAUUGUAGGUAUUAGAAUAUGGGUUAUGUUGCUGUCUCUGGAAGUUUGACACAUAAUGAGCUUGUUCAGCAGAUGACGACGCAAAAGGACUUCCAACUUGGCAGUUGACACCGGUAUGGUUCCCUCCGCAUAAUUCACAAACUUGAGUUUGAAUAGUACUGAUAUUUAGGUGUUCCAGCUUAUUAGAUAAAGCAGUCAUCUGUGCAGAUAAAGCAGUGACAACAUCAACAUUAUGGGCUCCUACAAUUUUCCUUGGCAUUGAUCGCUCUGAAGUCCACUGGUAAUUGUUGGAUGCCAUCUCCUCCAAUAAUUCAUAAGCUGCUUCUGGUGUUUUUCCCAUUAACGUUCCUCCUGCUGCAGCAUCAAUCAUUGUUCUGGUAUUGGAUCCCAAACCAUUGUAAAAUGUCUACACCUGAAGCCAAACUGGUAGACCAUGAUGUGGGCAUUUUCUUAUUAGGUCUUUGUAUCUCUCCCAUGCUUCAUAUAAUGAUUCCAUCUCGAACUGAGCAAAGGUUGUGAUGUCAUUCCUCAACUUGGUUGUUUUUGCUGGAGGAAAGUACUUUGCUAAAAACUUUUGCGCUAAACCAUCCCAUGUAGUGAUUGUUCCAGCAGGGAAUGAGUUCAACCACUCUUUUGCUUUAUCCCUCAAUGAAAAUGGAAAAAGCCUUAGCCUGAUAGCAUUGUCUGAAACACCAUUUUGCUUAAAUGUGUCACAAAUUUCCAAGAAAUUUGCAAUAUGAGCAUUUGGAUCAUCAUUUGGCAUUCCAGCAAAUUGAACUGAAGUCUGAAUCAUCUGGAUUAUGGCUGGCUUAAUUUCAAAAUUAUUGGCUUGAACGACAGGACGUGCAAUGCUUGAGCGAGCACCAUUAACUGUAGGUAUAGCAUAAUCUCUUAAGGGUUUUGCAUCCUCAUUUCCAUGUAAUGCUUCGUCAGCCAUGAUUAGUUGUUGCUCCUGUGAAGCUUCUCUCCUUUCUUUAUUAAGCUUUCUACACGUACGUUCAAUCUCUGGAUCAAAAGGCAAUAAAUUAAAACUUCUUGAGCGUCUCAUAAAAUUAAACAAGAAAAUAAAAAUUCAAAUAAAAACAAUAAAAAUAAAAUUCAAAUUAAACUAGGUUAGUUGGUAUCGAUACUAAUCCAAACAAUCCACGGCAACGGCGCCAAAAACCUGUUGCGUAAAUUAGCAAGUGUACUAGUCGGCACAAGUAAUAUAAUGUAGAGUAGAGUAUCGUCCCACAGAGAUUGUAUAUCCUAUUAGUUACCGAAAUUAUUCUAAUCCUAAUUUAUUUGAACAAUCAAAUAAGCGAAUUUAAAUUGAAAAUUAAAAUAACUAAAAAUCAAAUAAAGAUGCAAGCAGUAAUAAAAAUCACCAAGAGAUUAAAACACUAGGACAUUCGAUUUCACCAUAACCAAUCCAAUUUAAUCCUCUAUCUAUGCUAUUAAAGUUUAUUACCCAUGUUGACAGUAAAUUUCCCUAAUUUAUUCAAUAUCCUCUCUCGAGUAAUAUCAAAAAUAUCUCCACAUAUCAACCCACUAUAUCUCUAUGUGAAUUUAAAUAUGCAAAGAUUCAUUAAGUUCUAUGGAAAUUCUUAGACAAAACUGCACGAAUCACGUUGGCACAUCUCUGUCUUUCGUUCAAUUCAUGACAUCCAUUACACAGAGCAAAAAUACAUAAAUCUCAUCUCGGUCUCAUUAUGUAUCCUCAAAUCAUUCAAAUAUUGGCCAUAUAUUUAAAAGCAUUAAGCACAAUAAUGAACACUCAAUCAUGGAAUAAUUAAUUAAAAAUAACAUAGAUUUAUGGAAUUAAAGCUUCAUAGUUAGGCUACAUCGUAGCCCUAGUAAAAUAAAUUAGUUCAUGGAAAUAUAAAGAGAAUUCAUUAAUUUAAUCAGAAACAUUCAAGCAAGAUAAUAGAGAAGAGGAAAAGAAAAACUUAAGAAUUAAUGCGUCUUCCUCCUGCUCCAAAUUAUUCCUGCUACUCUCGGUUUUGCUCAAAACUUGCGGCUGCUGCUCUUCUCUUUAUUUUCUCUUGGCUGCCAUCUUCUCCUUGUGCGGCUGCCUUUCUUCCCUUUUAUAAUGUUGUGGUUUCUUCCAAAUCCUUAAGGGUAUGUUUGGCACGUGGUAUUGCAUUGUAUUAUCUUGUGGGCCCAGCAUUAGUUAAAAUAUACCUGUGUUUGGUGAUCAAAUGGAUUGCAUUGAGCAGCAUUAAAAUGCAGCUUUUGCCGCAUUAUCAAAACCCGCGCCCCCCCUCGUGAUUAGGCUGUAUUACUGACUUUUGUGUUUUAAAAGUCAGUAGCUUCCCCUUUUUUUAACUUUAUAAUAAUAGUAAUAAAUAAAUAAAAUUUUAAUUUAAUAUAAUAUUAUACAAUAUUAAUUUUUAUUUUUACAUUAUAAUUUAUUAAUAAAUUUAUAAUUGAAUAUAAUUAAUAAUAAAUACUUAAAUAGUAUAUAAAAAUAUAAUAUAGCAUUACAUUAUUUAAUUAAGUUACAAUAAUUAAUAUAAAAUAUUAAUACAAUUUAAAUAUAUUAAUAUAAUAUAAUAUUUAAUUUAAAUUAAUAAAAAAAUUAUUAUAGUACAGUAUAGUACCAAACAUUGUACAGUAUUAUUAUAAUACAAUGUUAAUACAAUACAGCAUAAUACAAUACAUCAGUAUUAAAAUAAUACAAUACAGCAUAAUACAAUACAACAUAAUACAAUACGUGUACCAAACGCACCCUAAAGGAAAAGGAUUGCAAAUCCAGCCCACGAAUCCUUAAAUGAAAAUAAUUAAAAACAAAAGCCCAACCACCUAUUUCAUUCCUAAGCCAAUCAGAAUUAAAAGCAAAAGCCCCUCCACGUGUUGCAUGCCAUAUUCUCUUUGUAAAUGAAUUCUUCAAUGCUUCCUCACUUGCUGCCAUAUUUGUGAACCAAAUAUUCAAUGCUUCCUCCAUGUGUUGCAUGCAUGCUUAAUGAUUAAUUAAAUUAAAUCUUUUGUGAUUUGUUCCAAUUAAUUCUUCUUUAAUCCCAUAUUGUACAUAAAAUAAGAAAAUAUAAAAAAUAAAAAUAAAAUUAAGUUAUGAAAGCAUUAAAAUAAUAGAUAAAUUAUGAGCACAUCAGCAACAAACCAAUUGUAUCACAUAAAACUAAUAAGACGUGCUUGGCCACACUAGGCUGCUUCCACAUGUGUGGGUGCACUUGCUAUUUGAGCAUUUCAUUGAUUUAUUUUGAUUAACAAGCACAACCAGAUGAAAAUAUAUACGCAUUUGGAUUUGCAUGGAUGGGAGUGGGUUUUAAACCAAGUCAAUGAAGAAGAGAAAUUGAAUUUCUUGCAAAGAAUUCUGUGGGAACAAGCUUGAUGCUGAAUGCUUUUCUUCUAAUUGCUAUGUUUCUGUUAGCAAGGUGGUAACAAAUUUGAGAAUUAUAUACAGCACAAGUGCAAGAACUUUAAUAUAAAAUAUCAAAACAGCCGAAAGCAAAUAUUAACAAACUAUCCACAAGUCACUGUGCCCUAAGAACUGAAAGGAGAAACUCUAUCGGGGCUGAAAGAUGCCUCCAAUGUGGAAUUGUGAGAAACUGGCUUGGCAUCAUAAGUGGAUAAAUAAAAAGGGUAAUUUUUAGGUACCUCCCCUGAGGUUUGGUGUAUUAACACUUAGAUAGAAUGUAUUCAUGUAAUUACAUAUACCUCCCCUACAGUUAGUAUAAAAAUACGUAUAGCGUCAAAUAGAAGGGUAAAUGUGUAAAAAUAUAUUUAAAAUUAAAAAUAUUUGCUUUUACCAAAUCAUUAAAAUUAUGACCCACUUGCCCGCUGUCAGCCCAAACUUGACCAGUCGGUCAUGGCUCCACCAGCGGCUGGUGGUGGUGCGCCGCUACCGAAGUCCUCUCCUCACACUAGCAACCAACCCCAUUCAUGGCAGCCUUUGAAUCAACUGCGUCCACCAACACACAUUAACCCAAGUACACGGCUUUUUGAAGUGUCUCUUUUGCUUUGUGUUUUCCCUUCAUUGAGAAGAUUCGUUAGCUAAUAUAAUAAGCUUUGUUGCCUUAGAUUUGAGAUUACAGAGGCCUGAGCAGAUGUGGCAGUGAUGUGGGCUUUAUUGUACUUGUCGAACAGGCAAAACACAUUUUAUUGGCCUACGGCGCCUUUUUCUUCUUGUUGGGGAACUUCGUGAAGAAUCCAGCUUGCUUCUUUCUUCCUUUUCUUUCUUCAUUUUAAUUUUUUUUUAACUUAUAAUAACUUUUUGAGAUUGAAUUAUUGGCUUCACGUGUAAAUGAAUGGUAUUUGGUAUGUCAAGUGCAUAGUUAUUCUUUUUUUAUUUAUUUUUUCUGAUGUUUUUGUGUUGGAAUUAAUUUCUCAAGGUUUUGGCACCACUCCCCAUUGGAUUUGCUGUGUUCAUGGUACACUUGGCCACAAUCCCAAUCACACGCACUGGAAUUAAUCCAGCAAGGAGUCUCGAGGCUGCUGUUAUUUACAACAAGGACAAGGCUUGGGGUGGCCAAUGGCUCUUUUGGGUGGUGGUGCUUUGCCACUGUCGGAGUCCUCUCCUAACACCGGCGACCAACCCCAUUCAUGACAGCCUUUGAAUCAACUGCGUCCACCAACAAACACUAACCCAAGUAGGCUUUUGUCUCAUCACAACCGGCACACCCCCACCGCCCCUUUGGCCAUCGCCGAAGCCACCCAACAACAACUAACAUCACCAUUAAAGUGGGUUCAAUGGAAUUCCCACUGCCAACGGAAUUCCCAAAGUUAUAACUAAUAAUUUUUUAUUUCAGCAUGAAGGAUAUUUUAGUAAUUUUAAAUGUUUACUAACGGUCAACUUAAUUAAUAACUAACGGCAGGGGAGGUAUAUGUAAUUACAUAGAUACAUUCCAUCUAGGUGUUAAUACACCAAACCUCAGGGGAGGUCUCUAAAAAUUACCCUAAAUAAAAACAAGAGUAAAUAGAAGCUCAUUAACAGAGAUUCCACUGUAUAGAGGGGUAUAUAUGUACAAUAUGUUACAUUUGGGAGAUGAAGAAAGAAAAAGUAAACUCACAAGUGUGCCUUGGAAUGAGUCAAGCACACGAAUAUGUCCUUCCAUAGUGGUCGGAAGUAUAAUUCUCCCAUCAUUACUGAGCUUUAUGACAUCAGAAUCUGAUACAUCUUCCCCAUUAGAGAAGAUGUCAAAAGGACCCUAACAGCAUCCAAGCUUAACCAAAUUAGUGCAUGAUAAAAGUACUACGAUAUAUAAACUUCCAAGAUAUUCUUAUAUUAAUUUUAACCUUCUCAUACUUACGAGCAUCAAACAUUCUUAUGUAUCCUCCAAAGGCAACUGCAAAGACAAGCCCUUGAUCAUCGUAUGCUGUAGCAGGCCUUCCUUGAACAUUCAAAAGACCCGGAUUUGCCAACAGAGAUCAUAAACACAAUUGAAAAUGGGGGAAAAAGACACUUUGAAUGUGACCGUGGAUGGCAUGAUAUCCACCUAGCAUUUCUCAGCCCGCUGAUCCCAGAGCAGAACAGUUUGAUCAAGAGAACCAGAGAUAAAGCAAUCUUUCGAGGAGCACAGGCUAAACAACCCUAGAAGCAAUAAAACAUAUAUACAGAUGAUAAUAAUUACAAAAUAUUUACAAGAAUCAGUGAAUUACAAACCUGUCAUGGUGACCUUUGAAGUAACGCAAGUACUUGUUAUCGUGCAAGGAAAGAAACCGUAGAGAUUCUGAAUAAAUGAACGUAUCAAACAGCACUACAAGUGGUUUCGUAAUCCAAAAAGUUCUAUCCAUGAAAGCAGAUAUCAAGCACUUCCCCAGAAAAACAAUUCAAGGGUUCCUUUGAUUUCAAAAGACACUUUAUUAUUUCUGCAAUUUCAAACAAACAUUGCAAAAUUGAAACCAGCUUCUUAUACUUAUUCAAAAGCCAUUUCUUAGUUAAAAGCACUUCCAAAGAGACAACAUAAAAUCCUAAGAAACAGAGGAUCAACUUACGUGGCAGCAGAGACAUCGUACGGCCGUAUAGAUUCAUCAUCACUAGCCGUCACCAAAUAACUCGACGAUUUAUGAAAAUCCAUGGAACUAAUUCUCCCAUUCUGUUGAAACACAAAUCAAUACAAAACGACACUGAAUUAACAAACAGAUACAUUUAAAACGCAAAUCGAGUAUGUUCCUCGAAUAGAAACUUAUUAGAAGAUUCUCUUACAUAAUCUCUAAAAGAAAUGCCCACUUCCAUGCUCUGAAGAAUUUCUUCAAAGAGUUCCAACGAGACCUUGUCUUCUCUCUCCGAUUGUGACCCUAAAACCCAGAAAUAAAAAAAAAAGAAAUAAAAACACAAAGCAAAUAAGUAUAUCACAGCAAUUAUGCCAAAAACGACAACAUUUCAAGUAAAAUUUCCACAUACCAACAAUUUUUUUUUUUUUUUUUUUUUGAUAUAAAAGGGAGCCAAACAAGGCUAAACCGAGACAAAACGUGGGAAAGCAUUCCCGUACAUGUCAUAAGUUAAACAAUUAACAACACCAUUCGGAGGGUUGUGGAGGACAUGAAACCCAAGAGGUUGCCUCAUUGCGAAAUUUGCAAGAAAAUCCGCUGCAAAAUUUGCUUCGCGGUAAAUGUGGCUAAUGCACACAUGCCAUUCUCUAUUUAUGAGCCUUCGGAUACUUUGAAUCACAGAAGAAAAUUUGCUUGGGUUAUUGUUCGUGUCUGCAAGAAGCUCAGUGAUGCACUUGCUGUCAACUUCAACCAACAAAGACCGAAUUCCCAUCUUCCAAGCCAGGUCAAGACCAUAGAAUAAACCCCAAAGCUCAGCAUUUGUAACCGAACUAAUUCCAGUGUUCGCACAGAAUCCAGCAAUCCAGUUCCCAUUUGCAUUUCUUAUCAAGCCCCCUGCAGCUGCCAUGUUCAUCUUUAGCAGGCCCCAUCAGUAUUCAAUUUGAAGACAUUUUCAGGAGGAGGUUUCCACCCAAAGUAUUUAACCAUCUUUGAAGCUCCAGGCUUGAUCAAGGCCAUCAUGGUUUUAUGGGCAUUUUCAGCUCUGGUCAUAAUAUCUAAAGUGAUGCUUUGACUGCUCCUCUGUACUUUCUUAAACAGAGCUUGGUUCCUCCAAAACCACAAUUAUGCCAAAACACAAAGCAAAUAAGUAUAUCACAGCAAUUAUGCCAAAAACGACAACGUUUCAAGUAAAAUUUCCACAUACCAACAUUUUUUUUUUUCCUUCAGAUUAAUUCAAUUCCACUGCACUGAAAACAAUUUUUUCACGGAAACGGGAGGAAGUUGAGAAUUUAUUUAUACUUCUGUGUCAAAUAGCAUUAUUUCCCAAAUAAGGACGGUAGUUUUCUAUUCGUCCCAAAUGGGUGCCUAAACCCAUACAAUGACUACGAUACCCUUAAGCGUCAGAUCCUGUACACUUAAAUGUCAAGGGUAUUUUGAUCAUUUAAUAAUUAGUGACCUACUUUCCGAUGCUUAUAAAGUCAAACUUCACGAAGAAAACGCUAAUAAGAAUGAUUAAGAAAAACGCUCAAAUUGGAUCAAAGCUUUGAAUGCCAACGUAAGUCUCGAGUUUUUUUUUUUUUCUUUCUUUCUAUUAUGCGUUAUUUUAUUCAUCAUCUAGUAGUAAUUUAAUCUGCAAAAUUCCAAUUUUUGACGCGCGCGCACCUAAAAAAUUUUUUGAAAGAAUUUUAUUUGAAUUUUAUAUGUGUUCCUAUUUGUUUUAUGAAUCGAAUCUGAUAAGAAAUUGUGGGGAUGCAAAUAUCACACGAUGCCUCCGUUCAGUCAAUUUUUUUCUUGAUUUGUUGAAAUUGUGUAAAUAGAUUUAUAAUAGUUUUUAUGAUGUGGCAGGGUACGCGCUCUUUGGAUAAUCAUGGAAGUAUGGUGAUUUCUAUUUAUUGUUGUGGGGAAAGGACACCGAAUUCUUUGCCUGGUUUUAGAAAUGAUCACAUAGACUUGUAUUAGGAUAAUUAUACCCUUUGACUGUAGUGAUUUCAUCUUGGCAUAUUUAUCAAAAUGGGUAUUUUCCCUUUCAACUACUCAUCACACGAGCUUUAACCUUCCACCAGUGAUCUGUUGAGGCUGAAUGAUGAGCGGAGGAUAGCGUGUUUGCCUUAUUCGUGCUUCAAGGUGAAGCAGAUUAUUGGUGGCAGGAUUAAGCUCGUCUGAUUUUGCAACCAAUUACAUGGAAAAUGUUUGUGAAUGGCUUGAAGCAUUGAGAUAUCAUUCUAUUAUCUCCGUGUGUUUUCAUAAGCAAAAUUGGGAUGUUAAUAGUGGUGUCGUAGCAGGAAGUUGAACAUGCAAGAUUCCAGCAAAUCCCUUUGAGAUCCCAUCCAGUUGUUGCAGCCCAGAUCCCACCAUCAAAUCAGGUCAAAUUACAAGAUAUACCUAACUUAUGGAUUAACUUUCAUGUCUUUUAGUUUGAGAUCUAGUGAGUACAAUGCUCGUAAUGGCCAAUACCAUAUGGUUCAAGAGGAUAUGAGAGCAUAAAGGUUCAAAUUUAUGAGUUUAACCGGUUGAAAAUGGUGUAAUAUGCCUCUGUGGUUUGUACAUAAUGGAUUAGAUAAUCCUCUUUUUUGGCCCUCCAAAGAAUUAUUCGUAGGAGACUGAAAAUUGAAUCUCUGAUGCAGUUUAUCCUUGAACUGGUAAGACAAUGUAGCUGAAGUAAUUUUUCAUAUUUCAUAUAGUAUUUGCUAUCACUUAAGUGGAAGACUAACUUUUGUAUCUCUACUUUUUUCUGGCGACUUCAAACAGUCUCAACCUUUUGGAAUGUGACAAACUUUGAACUACUAUAGUAAUAAGAAGAUUACUAACCCUGUGUGCCCUGUACACACUGCUAUGAUUGAAGAAAGGCUAACCCUGUGUGCCCUAUACACACUGCUGUGAUUGAAGAAAGGCUAAUAUUACUUUUGCUGACUGACUGAGUGUGAAGGUGUGGGAGUGAAAGCUACAACAUACACAAACAAUAUGGAUGGACCUUGCCAAUGCUGAGUUGAUCUCUGCAAAUGAAGAUUCACCUAAAUAGAUUGGGAAUGCCAUUGUGGAGCAAAUUAGUAGGAACCAGGAUGGAAAUUCCACAGUGGUUAUGCAUCUUGAAGGAUACAAGAUGACUGUGUUGAAGCUGACCCAGCUACUUGAAAUAACCGAGUUAGUGGGGUUUGACUACCCAAUCACAAAGAAAAAGGUAUGUUGAUUUUCAGAAUUUUUCUUCCACUUAUCUCUUUGCUGUCAUACAGAGUGCCAUUCUGAAUAGUGAACUUUUCAUGUAAUGUGAAUUUGAUUCUUAAAGCACCUGAAUCUAGAUAAGCUUGCUGCAUGCUGAGCAUUGGGUCUUGUGUCUCAUGUGGGCUUUUUUCUUGAGUUCUUUGUGCCCAAAGAUGCUAGUAGGCUGGUUCUUACCACUGACCAACCAUCUAUUUAUACUUAGUCACAGCAAUUGCAAACAUACCCCCUUGGUUGGUUCAGGCAGUAAAAUCUCUUGAGGUAGUACUUAAUUGCCAUUUCCAAGUGUUUAACCCUAAAUUUUUAAUAUCUUUUUGGUGGAUUCAUAUACAUUGAACUAGUCUUCUUUCUAUAUUACAUGGAUUAAAUUUUGAAAUUAGGCCAACCUGUUGUUAAAUCUGCCUUUCAAAUUAUUGACUUAAUAUUGCGAAAAAAGAGAGACUUUUUACUAUUACAGAAUUUUUCAUUGUUGCAGGAAACUGGAGUCGUAGCUGACAGUGCUCAAGGGCAAUCCUUAAAUUAAAUUUCAUUGCAAUAUUUGAAAUUUAAAUUAUUUGAGAAAAAAAAAAUAUUUGCAUAAUAUUGAACAACGCAUUUUCUUGUAUAAUAUCAAUAAAACAAUGCAUGUGAGGGAAUAAAAAGAAUAAGACGAAAUUUGACGACAGUAAUUAGCAUUAUUUCAAGCAAAGAAAUCUGGACACUAAUAUGUUUUCUCUGUUACUUUUCAAAAUUACUGCGUGUGCAUGAGAUGAUUGCUUGCUACUGUAGUACUGUGCAAGGUGAAACAUUUGAAGAAGCCCCCUUCUAAACUGGUAGUGGUGGUCGUUGUCCUCCUGCCGAGGAAGUGUCAUUAGAUUGAAACCUACUGCAAAUAUUGAUACAAAAUGGCUUCAAGGUUUCGUUAUAGAGCUGACUGCAAAAUGGCUUCAAGGUUUCGUUGUAGAGCUGACGACAAGCUUCUGUAAACAGCGCCCCAUAUUGAUGCACAACAAUGAUAAUGGACGAGCAAAGCCAUGCAGUGUACAAUAUGAUAUGACCAAUAUCAGAGCGGGGAACAAAUGUGGAGGCUAGCGAGACUGCAGAAACAGAUCCAGAGACUCGUGCUGCAAGGGCCCAAGAUUGGGAAAAAUUCUCUUGAUGAGCUAAAUAUGCAUAACAAUAAAUGGCUGUGGUUAUGAGAAAAGACCAUAUAUUUGUUGUGUGUUUCAAGCAAGCGCUCAUUUGUGCCUUGCAUAUUUGCUCCCACAAUGCCGAUGAGAGCUGGAAUGAGAUAUCCAAACACGUUAUGGUAUGCGUUUGACAUCGCAGAUAAAUAAAAUUUGUUCUUGCAGAACCAUUAAAAUACUAUAUUAAGGAAAGUAUUAGAUCCAUUCCUUUAGAAAAACAGGAAUUUAAGAGAUCAUUAUGUAUUUAGUCUCAUUUAAUAUUAGUUUAAUUUUUUCGAGUCAUAGUUAUUGUGAAAAAAAAAAAUUAUCAAAUACUUUUAUUGAUUGGUAAGAAUUUAAAAAGGAAAUUUGGGAUUUUUUUUUUGUUUUCUUGUGAACAUUGACGGUAUAUAUGUAGGGUAAAGUUUUAUUUUUAAAUACACGUUGUGGCUCAGCUCAGAGAGAGAAGGGAGACGGUCAAGAUUGCUGGGUUGACUUUCUUUUCCCGUCAGCCAUUUUGUAAUAGCUUGAUCAGAGCAAUCAUUACCUGCAAAACUUAACACAACACCAAAUUAACAACCAACAUUUCAAUUGAAACAAAUCUACUUGAAAAUAAAAGAAAAAGCAACUCCAAAUCAAAAUCGAAAUGAAACCUUAUCAGAGAGACAGCCGCAAGUAUGAAGAGACAAGCACGAUCCUGAAGGACUAUUACUCCAAAUCAAAAUCGAAUUAUAAGAGAGAAAGCCGCAAGUACGAAGAGAGAAGCGCGAUCCUAAAAGAUCUGAAGUCGUGUUGUAUAUAUGUCUUGUAUAGAUUGACAGAGCAAUCAAAGGCCGUGUCGACCAGAGCAAUCGAAGAGUAGAAGAGAUAAGAGAGGAAAAAAGAAGAAGAGGAGAACUGCAGCAGCAAAUGAGCAAAGGGCAGUAUUUAUAGACAAGACAUGUUGUACGAAAUAAAGUAGUGGACCCUUUGUAGGCCUCAUCAUUCUUAAAAAUUUCUUCCAUCAUCACUGCCAUGCAACCUAGAUAUUCUUUUUCAAAUAUAUUAAACAUUUUAUUCGUGUUAGUUUGUACUGCAUGGCUUAAAAUUCCACUCUUUACUAUGAGACAACGAACGAGUGGACCCUUUGUAGGCCUCAGUUUUGCAAUUACUGACUUAUCACAGCUUACUCCAAAUCAAUUUGGAGUAAGCUGUGAUAAGUCAAUUUGGAGUAAGCUGUGAUUUGGCUGUUGUAAGCAUGGCGUUCGUUGAAAAUUCCGCGAAUUCCCCCAUCCGCCAUCGGACCGACCGUCGGUUGAAUUAUCACAGCUUAAGAGCUAAAGUUUUUGUGUUAAAGAGCUUAAAUAACAUAUUAUAAGACUCAAGAUAUUAGGUUCGAACCACGCAUCUUCGUUUUACUUAAUGCAGAUCCAAUUUUGGUGGCAGCGAAAUUAAAACUUUUCAUUUCAUGUAUUAUCUCAAGAAAUAUGACAUUGAUACAAAUACAUCAUUCAUAGAAUUUGAAACUUGGAACAUGAAUUUGCAGUACGUACUUUUAGGUAAUCCCAAAAAAAAAAAAAUUUAAACUAUUAGGUAAGAGUUCAAUAGUUGUACUUGAAAUCAAGUCUAACAAAUAUUUAGAGCAUAGUAAAAUAAGGACCGAUUGAGAACAAAAUUAAAGAUUUAGAUUAAUUGAGAUGAUAAUUUAUGUAAACUUACUAAAAUAAAACAAAGAUGCAUAGUAAGUUUACAUAAAUUAGGUUCGAACUACGCAUCUUUGUUUUAUUUUAGUAACCUUAAACAUCUACCUCGAAAGUUGACGAAAGUUGUGAGCAAUAUUCUAAUAUUGCUAAUAUGUGUUUCAAACUAGAUACUUAGAUUCUAAUUAUCCUCCUCGUUCAAUAAUCAGUCUUUCUUGUGAAAACACAUCUUAUAAUAAUAAUAAUAAUAAUAAUAAUAAUAAUUAUUAUUAUUAUUAUUAUUAUUAUUAUUAUUAUUAUUAUUAUUAUUAUUAUUAUUAUUAUUAUUAUUAUUAUAUCUAAAAAAAGAGUAAGCAGUGCUACUGGUAGUCUGCAGUCUGCCGUGUAAUGAUAAUAUAUAAUGAAUAAAUAAAUAAAUAAAAACGGAAAUACGUAUCACAGUUGACACAUACCUUCAUUGAAAUCAAUAUAUAUAUAUAUAUAUAUAUAUAUAUAUAGGGUUUGGCUAUCUUCUUAUUAUUAUCUUUCCUUGUUAUCAUGCAAGGAAAGAAGCCGUAGAGAUUCUGAAUAAAUGAAUGUUUCAAAUAAGUGCCUAGGAAAGUAAUCCACCAACAUACACAACACAAAUGUUCCGAUAAACAUACCAUCCCAACCAUUCUUUGAGGAGUAUAUGACUGUUGUAGGAUGAGAAGUAAAACAAACAAGAUCCACGCCAUAUUUUUUGCUAUUAAUUGUCUUCAAACAUCUGAAAUUCAAUUAAGGGUCUCAGUAACAAUUGUAAUACCGAUUAUCAUGAACUCAGCUAAGACAACUGAAGUGCAUUUGGGAGUGCUCUUAUAGAAAGAGCAUAUGAAAGCAGGAGGGGAAAACGGCCUUUUCACAAAGUACUUGAAAAACAUAUGAAUUACAUUUCCCUUAAGCACUUCCCAGAAACCACUCCAAGGUUUUUUUUUUUUAAUUUUUUUCCAUCUUAAAAAGCAUUUUUGUCCAUCUUAGAGAAACAGCAACUUUCAUGAGCUCCUGAAACACGCAGAGCAUACAUUCAGAAGUGCUUUAACUGAAAGUACCCUUGAGUAAAAUCACUUUGAAACAUAUAUGAAGUACUUCUUCAAAUGGCACUAGAAGUGAUUUCCUAAUCCAAAAAGUUCCACCUAUGAAAGCGGAUAUCAAGCACAUUCUCACAAAACCACUUCAAGGGUUCCUUUGAUUUAAAAAGACACUUUAUUUUUCUGCAAUUUCAAACAACUACUGCAAAAUUUAAACCAGCUAUUUACACUUACUCAAAAGCCCUUUCUUAGUUAAAAGAACUUCCAAAGAGACAACAUAAAAUCCUAAGAAACAGAGGAUAAACUUACGUGGCAGCAGUGACAUCAUACAGACGUAUAGAUUCAUCAUCACUAGCAGUCACCAAAUAACUCGACGAUUUAUGAAAAUCCAUGGAACUAAUUCUUCCAUUCUGUUGAAACACAAAUCAAUACCAAAACGACACUCAAUUAACAAACAGAUACACUUAAAAUGCAAAUCAAGUAUAUUUCUCAACUCAAAAAAAAAAAAAAGGUAGAAGGUUCUCUCACGUAAUCUCUAAAAGACAUGCCCACUUCCAUGCUCUGAAGAAUUUCUUCAGAGAGCUCCAAUGAGACCUUGUCUUCUCUCUCUGAUUGUGACCCUAGAAACACCCAGUAAAAAUACACAACACAAAUAAAAUAAAUAAAUAAACCACAGCAAUUAUGCAAGAAAACUACAACGUUUCAAGUAUAAUCUCCACAUACCAACCAUUUUUUUCUCCUCCAGAUUAAUUCCACUGCAUCGAAAAUAAAUUUUCCACUGAAACGGGAAGGAAGAUGCGGAAGUUGUGAAUCAAUCAGCAAGAUUUCUCCAAUAAGGACCUAAGUUUUGCAAUCGUCUCAAAUAGGUGCCCGACCCCAUUUAAUGAGUAAGAUACCCUUAGGCGUCGUAAAGAUUAUUUAUUUAAACACCAAGGGUAUUUUGGUCAUUUAACAUCACUGAGGGUGCCGCUACGCUACACCUUAUUACGAGCCGUAGACCCCCGCCGGUGGGAUGGUUUGGGUUUGUCGGUUAACGCAUUAAAAUUCAUCUCAAACACAAAAUAAAUUUUGACAUCCAUUGUAUAGUACACACAUUAAUAAAAGAGAUAGGUUUAGUUUCAAAAAAGUAAGUACAUGAUAUGUAGUGUUAUGGAUAUACAAAAUCAUUUUAAAAGUUAAAAUCUUUACAGUUUUUUUAAUGCUUUUCUCUCUUAAUGUAGAUUCCAUAAAAUACCAUAUAUUGUAACAAAGAAAAAAUGUUAUGUUCUAUUUUAAACCUUUAAUAAAACAUAGUAUAUAUGUUUUGUCAUAUACAAAUGAUUAUUAUUAUGUGGAGGUAAUUUUUUUAAGAUAGAAACUAAAAAAGUAUAGUUUAUUACAAUAUGAAGUUUAUUAUUAUUUAUAACUGACUCAAAUUGGGACAAGAAAUUUUUAUGAUUAUAUGGAGGUUAUUCUUAUAUAAAGUAUCACCAUGAAGAUAUAUUAUUGUAAUUUGAAGAGGAAUCCUUCUAGACUGGUAGUGUUGGUCCUAGCUGUCCUAACUGGUAGUGUUGAAACCUAUUGCAAGUGUCAAUACAAAAUGGCUUCAAUGUUUUUUGGUAAAGCUUAAGAGAAGCUUCCAUAAACAAUGUGCCAUAAUGAUACACAACAUUGAUAAUGGCAGCUCCAAUCCAUGCAGUGUACAAAAUGAUGUGACCAAUCUUAGAGCGUGGGACAAAUGUGGAAACCAAAGAGAUUGCAGAUACAGAUCCUGAGGCAACAGCAAUAAGGCACCAGAACUGGGAAGAAUUUUCUUGAUGAACUCGAGACUUCACAUCAGCUGAAUAUGCAUAACAGUAAAUGGCUGUGGCUAUAAGAAAAGAGCAUAUAUUUGUUGAGUGUGUUUCAAGCAAGGACUUAGUUUGGCCUUGAACAUUUGCACCCACGAUGCCGACGAGAGCCCCAAUAAGAUGACCAAAAAUAUAGGGAUAUGACAUUGAGGAGAAGAGAUUUCGCCCACUGCAAAACAAUUUUAAAAAAAAAAAUCCAUCAUAAUCUAAUAUUUCUCCUGAGCAAACUUCACUCAAGCGAUUAGUUGUUAAUAAUUUAAAAAAUAAAAGUGGUUAAGUUUUAUUCGUACACUAGCACUAAAUAAUAAGUGACAAAAGAUUUUUAAAGGUUUAAAAGAGCUCAAAUUAUAAAAGGAUCUUAAUCACCAUUUUAAACACAAAUUUAGACACAAGUUUUAGCCAUUGAAUUACAAUCAUUUCAAUAACUUAGAUUGAAGCUAACAUAAAUUUCAUUUUAAAAAUAAAAUAGUGGUCACAUUACAUAUUAUUAAUUUUAUCUCUUUUCUCUCCACUUUAAAUCUCUUUCUUGCUAGAAAUUGAGAGAGAGACUAAAAACUUCAGAGAUUAAUGUACCUAGUUUAGAGCUUAAAGAAGCUAAAACACAAGAAUCAAUGGAGAUAAUGGUUCCUUUACGUUAUACACAAGGCUUCCACCUUAUACUUCAUCUAAAUAAAUUGGUGAGAUCCCAUUACGGACAUGAAAAGAGAGAAAAAGAUUUAAAACAAAUUACAUCAUUUAUCUUCUGUACAGUAGAAAAUAGGAUAAAUUAACAAAUUACAUCAUUAAACUUCUGUACAUUAGAAAAUAGGGUAAAUUUUAAUUCAUCUCUUAAGAUAAUAUGACAGUCUUUAAUUUAUCUCCUAAAAGUGUGAAAAUUUCAAUUUACCCCGUAUUCUUUGAGAAGAUGAUUGCAUGAGGACCACUAUUGAUGGAUUUAUUUUUUGCCUUCUUUAACAGCAAAUGGAUGUAAAAUAAUAUUUUCACACUCUUAGAGAUAAACUGAAAAUUGAUAAUAUAAGUAUGAGAUCAAUUGAAAUUUACCCUAAAAAUUAUAAUUAAAUCUCACCCAUCUAUCAAUCCAUAGAUUUUUACACGCUUUCAAAAUCGUCAUUCUAAAAUCAAGUCAACUCUCAUUCAGAGAAGCUACGUAGAGGUGUGACUUUUAUCAAAGCCAAAAUGAACCACUGUUUGUUGGCAUCGAUUUUUGACAAAGUAUAUAGUAACCCCCUCAAACAUUAACAAAAGCAAAAAAAUUGAAAAGGAAAAAAUUGUUUGUUAUACGUUUUGAGUCCCUUUCUCUUGGUUUUGCUUCUUGAGGAAAUUGUAGUUUUAUUUGAGUUCGUAGAAGUUAAAACUUUGAAGGACAAAAGAUCUUGGGAAAAGAUACGAGGAGAGAGAAAAAGAAAAAAAUUAAAUUAAAUAUAAAAUUGAAAGAGAAAGAAAAAUAAUUAAUAGUUACUAAUUAAUUUUGCAUCAAAAGGAAAUUCAUGUCAGUCUCAAUCUAAGCGAUUGAGGCUAUUAAAAUGAUUCUGAGCUAAUAGCUAAAAGUUUGUGUUUAAGUUUGCAUUUAAAAUUAUAUCUCUUAAACCUGCAUUUCAUCUUACAUAUAUUUUGUUUUAGUGAGAGAAUGAAAGAAAAAUUUCAGAGGGACAACUUAACCAGUUUAUUCCCGCAAAAUUGGGAGAACAAAAGUAAUUUGAAGUAGACUGCAUACUCAAAGAUAAUGUACAACUAGAGUGCAAAAAAUAAAAAUAAAAUAAAAUGACCAUACACAGGAGAAGGGUUUGGACUUGGAUGAUGAAGAAUGCACUGGCAGCUUUGCAUUCGCAUAUAUAUCUCAGGAAAAUCUUCAGUUUUCAUAUUAAAUGAAAUAGAACUCAACAGUUAACUCACUCAGCUUGAACUUGGAAGGAAAAAAGAAAAGAAAGGGAAAGAAAAAUCUCCCUCUCACUUCCAAAAAUAAAAAUUACACACUCGAUAGAAACAUCUUACUUAUCUCCGCUUAAAAAAUUAUCUCAUGGCCUCGGUAUUUAUGGGCUAAACGAGCCACUGUUUAAUCAAAAUGUGAAAAAAAACAAAUUCAAAAAGUUUUUGUUUGAUGGAAUGAGGAUGGAAAUGGACAAAAUUCAAAAGGGUUAUUUUUACUUUUACUGGCUUCCAAUAAACUAGGCCAUAUUGCACGUAAUUAUAGAAACCUCUCCUGCUGUUUGUACAACGUUUCGUAAUGGUCAAUAGAAAUGUUUUGCUCAGUUGCGUUAUGUGCUGAGUGAGGGAGACAGCGAAUCGUAGAGAGGAUUUUCAAGUUCAAAGUAAUAAAUGAGAAAGCGGCGAAGGGCCAUCGGUAGCUAGUAAUGAAAGAAUAAAGUUUUCAAAAGUUUACUUUUAUUGAUGAAAAAGUAAUGACAAUUAAGGUUUGAUCCUUUUUUAUUCUAGAAUCCUAACACACCGUUUUACUAAUUAUGUUAUUUCAAACCCUACAAAUUUUUUUUCCAAUAAUGAACAAUCUUGCUGGGAUAUAAACGAGUCUAUGCAAGGAAAGCCAAAAUACAAAAAAAAAAAAAAUAUAUAUAUAUAUAUAUAUAUAUAUAUGAGCAUGAUUUAUAUACGUUUCCUGAUUGAGUUGCUAGCGACGAUAAACUCAGUUUCGAAAGUGUAUAGGCGUAUCUCAAAGUAUUAGUGGUUGAGAAUAUGCAGAUAAACUGAAAUUACAAUGAAAUUAUUAUAAAGCAAAUAAAAAUUUACAAGGGAAUGAGUUUCUUUUAACCAAUUAAAUAACAAAUCCGAUGUUUCAAAUGGAAUAAUACACGAAAAAACCAUGUUCACAGAUAAACAAGUUAGCAGCAUUAUAGACAAACUUCGGAAGCAGAUACCUGAGAUGGCCAACAGUUGAGUGCAAAUUUAUUAGUGAGGUUAAUUUUAUUUUUAGUUGUUCUUAAAUAUAACUUCAAUAAAACAAGAGUUUUAUGAUAUUAAUGAAGUGAUGCCAAUUGUCCAACUCUUUAUUUUUAUCAUUUUAAAGGCUCCUUCUUCUACUUACCUGUUUGUUCUUCUAACUCACUAUUUAUUUCUUUAUUUUUGCAUUUAAAUUCUUUCUUAAUUAAUAUGAGCUUUCCCAAGCAUUUAAAAAUUUAAUAUCAUCAACGUUAAUGUAUAAUUAAAAUCUAACUAAAUUUAUUUUAUAAGUUAUUAAAACACCAAUCACUUAAAUGAAUUUUACAUCUUUUUUCUGCCAACAUAACAAAUGUCUUUAUUUAAUUGCUUUGGUAAUGUAAAUGGCGAUUACCUGAGCAGCCGGUCGCCCAUUCUCACAUGUGUGACACACAUAUUUCCUCUACUCGACAUUUUCAUGUUUCUACAGUGUAUAUUAUGCAAGACCCUACAAUUAUUGGUCAUUUGUUUCAACUCAGAGAAAAAUUUGCACAACAUUUUAUUUAUAUUCGUCAAAUUUAUUAUUUAAAAAUUAAUGAAACCUACCAUUCUAUUAUAUUCUAAAGCAUCACCAACAGACCGUCUCAGGUUCUCUCUCCAAGUCAAUAGCAAGCAAUGUAAUCUCGGUACCGAGGUACAUUCAAAGGUCAAAUCACGUUCAGCUGCUGGCAGGAAAAUCAAAUAAAUUAAUUAGGCAAUGAGUCCCUUUUUAAGCAAUGGUGAGGAUUACUUUUUCAGGAAACUUUCAGUGACCGGUAAAGACAAAUUUUGGUUAGGUGAUGGUAGCAAAUAAACGUUGCAAGUUAAAUCUGAACGCUGCAUUUAACCCAAACUCUGUUUCAAUUGAAUGUGGAAAGGACAUAUACAUAUGCUGCUGUGAAGAAGCUCGAAGCAGUCAGCCAUGAGAGGCCCUGCUUUCCUUGUAAUCUUUCCGUAAAGUAGCACCAUCAUCAUGCAAUGAAGGAAAAUCCUCAUGAGAAGCCUCCAUUCCCUUUCUGCAAUUGUGUCCUUGCUUAAUAUACCUUGAUAUUUACAAAGAACUUUCACCAUAUCAAGUAAAAUGAACAAACACAAAUUACAGAGCCGCGGCGUUUGAAUCAAAGGAACAAGAGGGUUACUCUUGAACAAUGAUAUGUGUUACGUCGCACAUAAAGAACGGAACCGCUAAUAUUUUCUGACAUACUAUUUUCUUACUAAAAUUUUAUCUACUUCUACCACAGUGGAGGAAAAAAGCACCAUACCAGCUGUUUCCGUGAAAAUAGGCGUGAGAAAAAAAUAUUUGCAAGCAACAGAAUUUAUGUUUAAGUGUAAUUUCACGCUUAUUUCAUCUUUCUUCAGUUAAAUCAAUCAGCAAAACUUAAAAGCCCACUUCAAGCUUUUCUUUGAUUUCGAAAGGCACCUUUUUUUUUAAUCCCAUUUCCGAAAACUACUACAAAAUCUAAAAGAAUGAUUUACACUUAAAAAGCCUUUUCUUAAGUUUUAUUUGGUAUUGGGGGUAGUGUAACUUCUAAGUUAUAGUUGCUGUAAAAAAAAAAAAAAGUGUAAUUAUAAAAUACAAAGUUAAUAGUGUACAGUAAAAAUAAAAUUUAAAGAAAUAUUUUGAUAAAAUUAAUAAAAAUAUUAUAAUUUUCUCAUCACAUGAGUGAUGAAUUAAAUCAACUUAGUUUGUAAGCUAUAGCUAAGGAUGAUAAAAAGUUUGGGCCGGCCCAGUAUAUUCUUGCAAACUUUGGCUUGGGCUUCUACACGAGGGCCGGACGAGGGCUCAAGGAAAAAAAGACUGAGCCUAACCCAGUCCUCUAUUUUUUUAAAAAUAAAAUUAUGAAUUAGGAUAACAAAUUAAAAUUCAAAAAAUAAUGAAAAAUUAAAAAAAAAAGCUUAAAUCCCUAAUUCAUAUAUCAAUAAUGAUUCAAAUAACCUAAAAUUAUAAUACUAAACUUAUUUUAAGCAUUAAUUAAUUGAGAGGGUACUUGAAUUAGAAAAUUCAAUAUUAAAACAUUAAAUCUCUCAAAUUUUAUUUGCUUCAUUUUUGUUAUUUAUUAUUUUAUUUGAAAAUAUUUAUUUUCUUUAAUUUAUUAUUGAUUGUAACAACUUAUUGAUUAUUAUCUCAUGUCAAGUUUACAAUAAUAAAAAAUAAAAAAGUUUGCAAUAAAAAAAAUUUAAAAAAUAAGUAAAAGUCCAAGCCCAGCCCAAGCCUGGCUCACCCUGCAAUGGCCUGGCCCAAGCUCCCAUUCUACCAUCCCUAGCCACAACAACUAGUAAUUUAUAAAAAAAUGUAAGUGUUGUAGGUUAGUUUUUAAGUUACAGUUGUAAAACUUCAAUACUAAAUAGAUAUUUAGGGGUUUUUAUUUUCUUUUUUUUUCCUUUGAUAAAACAGGGCUUUUGUUAAAAGCACUUCCAAAGACAAUAUAGAAUCACAAGAAACAAAGGGAUCAACUUAUGUGGCAUAGAGACAUCAUAUAGAUGUACCGAUUCAUCAUCACUAACAGUCACCAAAUAGCUCGAUUUAUGAACUUGUAAAAUCUUUUUUUUUUUCUUUAAGUGUAAUUUCAUCGUAUAGAUGUAGUUUUUUUCCCCCUUCCUUGAAUAAGCUUAUUCACAUCCCAACAAUAGAAUUUUACAUUGAAUAAUGAGUGUGUGUUUUACAAGUAUUAAGAGUAAUUAUGUCAUAUUGGUUUAUAAUAGAUUGUCUUUAACAGUAAUUCAACUUAUGAGUAUUAUGAGUAUUUUUAUAAUGAAUUAUUUUAUAUAAAUAAAUGUGUUCAUAGCAAUUUUUGAAAGUACAAAUAUCUCCACCCUCAUAUUAAUUAUUGUUAUUGAUAUUAUUAUUUGUGCAUGGUAUAUACACGGAUGGAUCCAGUAUUAGACUAGUUGGGGCACGGGCCCUCGCUGACUUUUGUAAUAUUUUUUAUGAUUAUAAAAAAAUGUAUUUAAUUUAUUAUUUAAAAUAGUGCCCCAAUUGAAAUUAGAAUUAUGAAAGUGUUCCAAUUAACUUCAAAAGAUUUUAUGUUGCCCUUAAUUGAAGUGUCUAAUUUUAGAUGAUUUGAUUCACUAUUAAAACAUUAUGAAACUUAAAUAAAGACAAAAGAUAAUUGAUAUUUUAAACAAAAUAAAAAAUAAUUAAAAACUAAAGAUGUAUACUUUGCUCUUUUUAUUUUUCUGGUCUCUUUCCAAUGCUUUGAAUCAAAACCACUUUCUUUAUUUGUUUGUUAUGGUCGUAGUGUAAUAAUCGAUCAGAGUAAUGCACGUGCAUCAGUGCAUGGAUUUCAUCCCAAUUCCCAUAAAUCAAAAGCACUUUCCUUUAAUUGUUUAGUUUUUCGAUAUUGAUUCUUAAAUUAUAAGUCUAGCUAAUUUUAAUUUUCAAUUAUUCCUAUUAAUCUUUUAUCUAGUUUCCAAAUCUCAAUUUUACUAUCUAUUCAUAUUUUCUCUUCGUGUUGCACUAUAUGAAUAUUUGGGAAAUUUACAAAAAUAACCAUAAAAGUUUUACUGUUUUCACAAUUAAUCCUUUAAAUUUUUUUCUAUCAACAUUAGCCAAACACACGCUUUUCUCCCCAAAUUACCCUUGUUUACAAAUCAAAAGCAACAGUCGUGGGUGAAUCUGGCGACAGGCGUCUAUCGCACCAAGCUUGGUGCGACAGACUGCCUGUCGCACAAAGCUACGUGCGACGGGCUGCCUGUCGCACAAAGCUACGUGCGACAGGCGUCUGUCGCACCAAGCUGCCUGUCGCACAAAGCUACGUGCGACAGGCGUCUGUCGCACCAAGCUUGGUGCGACAGGCGCCGGUCGCACCAAGCUUGGUGCGACGGGCGCCUGUCGCACGAAGCUGUAAACUGAUUAUGGAUUAUGAAGCAAAUUCCAGAAUCAGGGAUCCUGUCUACGGCUGCGCCGGCACGGUUUGCCAUCUGCAGAAACAAGUCAGUGAGCUUCAGGCUGAGUUAGCCAAGGCACAGGCCGGGCUCGCUUCCAUGCAAAGCCAGCAACAAAAUUUGAUUGCUUUGAUUUGCAUGGAAAUGGCUCAAUCUCAAGAACAAGUCCUGCAUCGUCAUCAGCAGCAGCAGCUGCAACAGCAGUUCAUUGAUACAAGCUGUUUUUUGGACGAAUACAGUCUUGGCUCUACCUGGGAACCUCUCUGGACAUGAAGAGAAGUUAAAGCAAUAGGAGUGGUUGAAACUUUUGAUUUGAAGUUAAAGCUAAAUAACCAAAUGAUUUGAAUAAAUCUCGUUGAAGAGAAUAGAAGAUAAGAAAGAGGGAAACAUUUUUGCUUUUAUCGGAUUCUGUGCAGAAAGCCCUGCACCAUUCCACCUUCUUUCUUUUUCUUAAAAAAAUAUAUAUAUAUAUUUGUUUCUAUAUCUUUCUUAGUUUCCUUCACCUCCGUUCACUCUUUUUCUGGUUUUGCCUUCAAACUCAUGUUCUGCAACUUUCUACACUAGCUCUCCUCAGUAGCUUAUUCUUACGCAGGGAUUGACUUCAAAGGAUGAAGAAUCCUAUUUAUCUAUCCAAAUUCGUUUAAAUUUCGCAGAAUUCAACUCUUGGAUAUGCAAACUUCAGUUACGCGUAAUUCAAGAUGAUAAAUUAUAACCAGCAUAUCAUCAAUAGACCAAAAGCACAUUGAAAUACUAGAUAUCUACAUAAAUUGGAAUUUUUUUUUAAAAAAAAUUAUAAUGCUUUAAUGUAUUUACAAAAAUAAAUUUCUUAUUUUAGUGGAAUCGCUUGUGAAUUAACAUAUCAUUUGCUUGAGAAAAAGACCAUUAGUGCCGCCGACGAUGGGAGUUUCUUCGGUUUGGGAGAGAUGGGUGAAAGAGAGAUUGUUGGUGGAGAGAAGAGAGAGAGGGGUAUUUUGGUCUCAAAGGUUUUUUUAUGGCUAAUGUUGAUAGAAGUUUGUUUGGGGGGUUAAGAUGGAAAAAGUCAAAACUUUUAUGGUUAUUGGUGUAAAUUUCCCUGAAUAUUUUUGCUAUUCAGUCACAUCAUACAGACGUACAAAUUCAUUAUCACUAACAGUCACCAAAUAGCUCAACCGUUUUUUAAAAUCAAUUGAACUAAUUCUCCCAUUCUGUUGAAAAAUAAAUUAAUACUAAAUGAUACUCAGUUAAUAAAUGGAUACACUUAAAAUGGAAAUCAUCAAGAAUGUUAGAACCGAAGAAUUCAAUCCAAAAUCAAACUAAAUUUUAAUAUGAAUCGAACCAAACUGAAUGACUCAGACAAUUUGGUUUCUAACAUGAAAACCAAGCCAAACCUGUGAUUGAAUGACAAAACAGAAACGUAAAGAAGGUAAAAGAUAGAGAAAUAGAAAUUUCUGACAAAAGUAAAGUUUUAAGUAUCUUUUAUAUUAACCCUAAAUAAGUGAAUUUAUCAAAAGAGGCAAAUCCAAAAUAUUUUAAAAUAGUAAAAUAUUAUCAUUGGAAAUAAAAAAAAAAUAAAAAAUGACACUUAGAUACGAUAUUUGGAAAAAUAAAAAUCAAAAUUUGGAAAGAAACUAAGAAAAUAGGAAAUUAAAUAUCUUUUGCUUGCAAACAUGGCCCAAAACAAUGGGAUUUCAAAAUAAUUCGCUAAGUUUUUAUGAUAUUGUGAUAAACCUCCUUAUUCAUCUUUUCAUAAGCUUCUAUAUAUAUAUAUAUAUAUAUAUAUCUCAUUCCCUUGAAAAAAAUUUUAAAAGACGAUGUAUUAAUUUCCUCUCAAAUUGUCAAUCAUUUGAUUUUGACUGAAUUAUUUUAGACCAUUAAUCAAUAUACAAUAAUGUAUCGAUAUAACUAUGGUAUGUUUACUAAUUAGUAAUCGGAAUGAGCCGGAAUCAGAAUGGAGUGGAAUUGGAAUGGACUUUAUUACUAUUGAUGUAUUUACUUUAUCUUGAAAUCAGAAUGAAUUAUCACAAGUUACUAAACCGACCUUAGUUGAUUAUUUCAUUAUUUAUAAUAAUAAUAAUAAUCAUCAUCAUCAUCAUAAUAUGAAUAAUAGUUAUUAUUAUUGUUAUUAUUAUUAUGGUGAUGAUGAUGACGACGAAAAUUUCAUUGUUGAUGACUUUAGGGAAUGACAUUCUUACUCCCAUCUCCCCCAUAGGAAUGGGAACUCUAGUAAUCAUUCCUAAUUUUAAGUGAGGCCCACAACUUUGAUUCUUAUUCUGCCUUUUAUUUAACUAGGUAAAUGUAUCAUUUAUUCAUAUUCCUUGAUUUUCAUUCCCAUUUCCAAUAGGUAAAUACAACACUAAUGUAUACAAUAAUGAAAUCGCAAUAGAUACGAAAUAGGAUAGAAGGGAAUAUUAUUCUUUGAAUAUAAUUUUUCUCUAUAAAUUCAAGGGAGUACUUUCUUUAACACAUAUAGUUAUUUUUCCUCUGCCCCCAAAUAUUUCACCAAUUUUACUGCAUACAUACUUGCUUCAACAACCAUCACGUGCUUUUAAUUUAUGGGAACUGGAAUAAAAUCCACCUACUGAUGCAUACACAGUUCUCUAAUCGGCUACUGCACUAUCAUCACGACAAACAAAUUAAGAAAGUGCUUUUGAUUCAAAGCACUGAAAGUAGAGUGAAUAUCUUUUGUUUUUAAUUGAUUUUUUUAUUUUAUUUUAAAUAUUUAUCGUCUUUUGUCUUUAUUUAAGAUUCAUAAUGUUUUAAUAGUUAAUGAAAUUAUCUAAAAUUAGACACUUCAACUAAGGGCAAGAUGAAAUCUUUUAAAAUUAAGUGAGGCAGUUUCAUAAUCCUAAUUUCAAUUGGGGCACUUUCUAAAAUAAUAAAUAAAAUACUUUUUUAAUUUAUUUAUAAUCAUCAAAAAAAUGAUUUCAGAAGUCAGGUAGGGCCGUGCCCCAACUAGUCCACUAUUGGAUCCAUCCGUGUAUAUACCAUGUCCAAAUAAUAAUAAUAAUAAUAAUAAUAAUAAUAAUAAUAAUAAUAAUAAUGGUAAUGGUAAUUUAUGUGAGAAUGUAGAUAUUUGUAUCUUUAAAAAUUAUUAUGAAUGCUCUUAUUUAAAUAAAAUAAUUCAUUAUAAAAAUAAUUGUAAUACUCAUAAGUUGAAUUACUAGUAAGAAUAAUCUAUUAUAAAAGGGAAAUUUACAAAAAUAACCAUAAAAGUUUUACUGUUUUCACAAUUAAUCCUUUAAAUUUUUUUCUAUCAACAUUAGCCAAACACACGCUUUUCUCCCCAAAUUACCCUUGUUUACAAAUCAAAAGCAACAGUCGUGGGUGAAUCUGGCGACAGGCGUCUAUCGCACCAAGCUUGGUGCGACAGACUGCCUGUCGCACAAAGCUACGUGCGACAGGCGCCUGUCGCACCAAGCUUGGUGCGACGGGCGCCUGUCGCACGAAGCUGUAAACUGAUUAUGGAUUAUGAAGCAAAUUCCAGAAUCAGGGAUCCUGUCUACGGCUGCGCCGGCACGGUUUGCCAUCUGCAGAAACAAGUCAGUGAGCUUCAGGCUGAGUUAGCCAAGGCACAGGCCGGGCUCGCUUCCAUGCAAAGCCAGCAACAAAAUUUGAUUGCUUUGAUUUGCAUGGAAAUGGCUCAAUCUCAAGAACAAGUCCUGCAUCGUCAUCAGCAGCAGCAGCUGCAACAGCAGUUCAUUGAUACAAGCUGUUUUUUGGACGAAUACAGUCUUGGCUCUACCUGGGAACCUCUCUGGACAUGAAGAGAAGUUAAAGCAAUAGGAGUGGUUGAAACUUUUGAUUUGAAGUUAAAGCUAAAUAACCAAAUGAUUUGAAUAAAUCUCGUUGAAGAGAAUAGAAGAUAAGAAAGAGGGAAACAUUUUUGCUUUUAUCGGAUUCUGUGCAGAAAGCCCUGCACCAUUCCACCUUCUUUCUUUUUCUUAAAAAAAAUAUAUAUAUAUUUGUUUCUAUAUCUUUCUUAGUUUCCUUCACCUUCGUUCACUCUUUUUCUGGUUUUGCCUUCAAACUCAUGUUCUGCAACUUUCUACACUAGCUCUCCUCAGUAGCUUGUUCUUACGCAGGGAUUGACUUCAAAGGAUGAAGAAUCCUAUUUAUCUAUCCAAAUUCGUUUAAAUUUCGCAGAAUUCAACUCUUGGAUAUGCAAACUUCAGUUACGCGUAAUUCAAGAUGAUAAAUUAUAACCAGCAUAUCAUCAAUAGACCAAAAGCACAUUGAAAUACUAGAUAUCUACAUAAAUUGGAAUUUAAAAAAAAAAAAAAUAUAAUGCUUUAAUGUAUUUACAAAAAUAAAUUUCUUAUUUUAGUGGAAUCGCUUGUGAAUUAACAUAUCAUUUGCUUGAGAAAAAGACCAUUAGUGCCGCCGACGAUGGGAGUUUCUUCGGUUUGGGAGAGAUGGGUGAAAGAGAGAUUGUUGGGGGAGAGAAGAGAGAGAGGGGUAUUUUGGUCUCAAAGGUUUUUUUAUGGCUAAUGUUGAUAGAAGUUUGUUUGGGGGGUUAAGAUGGAAAAAGCCAAAACUUUUAUGGUUAUUGGUGUAAAUUUCCCAUUAUAAAACAACAUUACAUAAUUACUCCGAACACUUGUAAAACGCACUCAAUGUAAACUUAUAUUAUUGGGAUGGAAUAAGCCUAUAAACAAGGAAAGCCAAAAUACUAAAAGAAUUAAUGAGCUACAUAGGUGUCUUGAUUGAAUUGACAGCGAGGAUAAACUCAAUUUCAAAAUUGAAUAUGCGUAUAAAAGUAUUAGUGGAUGAGAACAUGCAGAUAAAAACAGAAACUACAAUGAAAUUACUAUAAAAGCAAAUAAAUUAAUUAGGGAAUUAGUUUCUUUUCACCAAUUAGAUAACAAAUUCGAUAUACUUCAAAAGAAAUAAUACUUUAAAGAAUAUGAUCCUAGAUAAACAUAUUAGCAACAUUAUAGAUCACAAACUUUGGAAGUUGAUACACGGAGUUGAGUGCACAACUAUAUAAGGGGUUAAUUUUAUUUAUAUUUGUUAUCAAAUAUAAUUACAAUAAAAUAGAAGUUUUAUGAUAUUAAAGGAGAGCCUAACUCUUUAUUUUUAUCAUUUUAAAGACCUUCCUUCACCUUAUCCGUAUGUUCUUCCAAGUCAUUUUCAGCCGACCACUUUUAAGAUACUUUCACCACUGUUUACCGCCAACACAACAAAGGUCACCGAUUACUUUUAUUUAGGCAGCUGUUACCGGAGCAGCCGGUCGUCCUUUCUCACAUGUGUAACACACACAUGGUCCUCUACUUGUCAUUCCCACAAUUGGUCACUCAAGUCAAUAGCAAGAAGCAAAGAAAUCUGUCAAAAUCACUUCAGCUGCGUCAUGGCUGGAAAAACAAAUAAAUUAAUUAGGGAAUGAGUUUCUUUUAAUCAAUUAAGUAACAAAUUUGAUACUCAAAGGCAAUGUAAUGCACAAAAGAACCAUGAUCGUAGGUAAACAUGUUAACAAUAUUAUGGAACAAAAACUUCAGAAGCAGGCACCCGUCUGAGAUGGCCUCCUCACAUUUCAAACAAUUAUGCAAAUUUUAAAAGAGUGAUUUACACUUAUUCAAACGCCAUUUUCUUAGUUUUUUUUUUAGUACAUGAGACUAUUACUUAUAUUACAUGAGAUUAUAACUAAUAUUUACAAAUCAAAUUAUUAUUAAAAUUAGUUUACAUCAAUUUUUAUGAAGCACUGUCCAGAUUUUUAACCAUCACUAAUAUUGAAGGGAUGUAUACUCUACUCGCACUUGAUAAGAGAGAAGACUGUUUCCACUCAAUUAUACAUUAUAAAUAAGGAAUAAAUUACCCCCACAAUACGUUUGUGGGGUUUCGAACUACUAUCCUCACAUAAGGGCACCAGCCCUAACCUCCCAACCAAAGUCGAGUGGCUAAAAACCCAAAAAGUCAAUCAAUUAAGAAACACGUAUACUUAAAACACAAAUCAAGUACACUUUGCAAAUGAAAACAUGCCUGAACGAGACCUUUGCUUCUCUCCCCGACUAUGACACAAAACACCCCCCUCCCAAAAAAAAAUAACAAAGAAAUAAAUCACAACAAUUAUGCGAGAAAACGACAACGCUUUAAGUAUAAUUUCCACAUAUAUACCAACCAUUUUAUCCUUCUUUUUAUUUUUGUUCUUCAAUUUUUCUCCACUGCAGCCUGAGGAAGAUGAGAAUUUAUUUACAACGAUUAAGCCACAAAUAUUAUUAUACAAAAUAGUGUGCACAAAAUUCUUUUUUGGGUAAAAAAACAAGUCUAGUAUGUAUAAACUAAUGUGACAUAAAGAGAUUGACAGAAAAGGGAUAAUAAUUAUUUUUUAAAUUAUGUGGACUCACAAUAGUUUUCUACAUUUAAUCUCUUUAUGCUACAUCAUUUCGUACAUAUUUGUUUUUACAAGGUGAUUUUGACUUGUGACUAUCUUGUAUAUCAAAUAGCUUGAUUUCUCUAGUAAUCAGACUAGUUUUAUAUUAGUCUCAAAUAGGUCCCUAGCUCCGUUUAAUGAAUUACAUACCCUUAGCCUUAAACACCAAUUCUUACACCAUCAUAUGUCAUUGCCAAUGGUUCUUUGGUCAUUUAGAAUUAAAUAAGGACCUAAUUACAUGAAUGGACAACUAAAUCAAUACAUUACACCUUAUCACUUGAGCCUUAGACUCCCACUAAAAGGGGUGGACAUUUUGAUUUUAAAUUUUGGGUUAGUCAAAUCAUGAUUCGAGUUGGAAUCCGUUUGGGUUAGAGAAUUUAACCCAAACACAAAACAAACUUUAGCCCGAACCGAAUCAAACCAAAUUAUUCAAAUUGUUUGGUUUCUAAUUUAAAAACUAAACCAAACUUAAUUUUAGGAUCGAUUCGGUCAGAUCAAUCCAAACCGUUUGCCUACCUUAUUGAAUGGAAUAAACUUUUUACUAUUAUAUUAAUAAGAAAAUUAUUAAUCCUGAGUGUAGAUGUUGCUGACUGCCUUGAUAAAUCAUUUGUUCACAUCAAACUGAGGCAUGAGAUAAAUAAAGGUGUAGGAGAUCUAGAGGAAGCUGCAACAUACACAAAAGCAAUAUUAUAUGGAUACGCCAUGCCGAUACUGUGUGUGAAUGAAGAUUCACCAAUGGACUGGGGGAAUGCUAUAGCGAAACAAAUUAGUAGCUGACAAGGAUUAACAUGUCACAGAGUUAAUAGGGGGUUUUGCACAUCUUGAAAGAUCAGGCAAGACCACAAUGUUGAAGCUGGCCUAGCUACUUGAAAGAAACGAGUUACUUACUUCACUUUGGUGGAGUGCAAAUAUACCACCUACACUAUAUAUUGUUGAAAAGUCAAAAUGAGUCUCACAUGCACUGUCAAAUUGCCGAAAAUUUUGGAAGAGUUGGGAGUGUUGGAGUUGGGAUGUUACAGGUAUUUGUCGUAGCAGGAAUUGGAACAUGCAAGGGCUCCAUCAAGUUGCCCACCAUCAAAUCAGGUCAAAGCACAAAAUGUAUCAACAGAUGGAUAUGCAUUUCCUUUUGUUUGAGAUCUUGUGAGUACAAUGCUCUUAGUCCUUAAUACCAUACACAUAAACAAUGGCCUAUAUAUAAACACUGCUGUGAUUGAAGAAAGGCAGUAUUGUUAUCGCUGACUUUUACCAAUGGCCUUGAUGGACCAUUUCUUCGCAUCUAACUGAGGCAUAAGGGGUAUAAAGCCUAAGUGUAGGAGAGAAAGCCACAACAUAUGUACAAAAACACAAUAUGGAUAGACCUUAUUGAUCAUGCUGAGUUAAUUGAUCUCUCUGUGAAUGAAGAGGAUUCCCGUUAAUGCCACAGCGGAACCAAUUUUUAGGAACCAGGGUGGACAUGUCAAAUAGUGAACAGGGGUUUUAAAUCUUGAAGGGAUACAAGACCACAGUUUUGAAGCUCACCUGGCUGCCUGAAACAAGCGAGUUAGUUAACGACGUUGGUGGAGUUCGACCCUAUAAUUAAUUGACUAAUAUCACAAAGAAAAAGGUAUAUUGGUUAUCAGAAUUUUGCAUCCACUUGAGCCAUUCUGAAUAGUGAACUUUUCUUGCAAUGUGAAUAUGUUUUGUUUUGUUUUUUUCCUCCCUUUUUCUGAAGGCCUGAGAAUUUGUUCUUAAACCCGACUUAAUCUAAUAAGCUUGCUGCAUGCUAUAGUCAGCGUAGGAUCUGGUGUCUCGACCAUGUGAUCUUUUUCCUCGAGUUGCUUGUGCCUAAAGAUGCAAGUAGCUAUGCGGAUUCCAACCUCUGAAUUCUAAUCAUCCAUGUGUUUUUGUUCUUAGUCACAGCAAUCACGAACAUACACUAAUUUGGUUCAAGAGGUAAGACCACUUGAGAUAGUACGCAAAGCCGUUAAACCCAAAAUUAUUAAGACUUAAGGUGGAUUCAUAUACUUUGAACUAGUCUGCUUUCUAUAUCACAUGGAUUCAAAUUUGAAAUUGGGCCAACCUCUUUUUUUUUCAAAAAAGAAAAGAAUUAAUUUUCCCUAUUAAGGUUUUCUCAUUGUUAAUGGAACCGGAGUCUCUGACAAGAGGAAUUUUAAAAUACGUCAGAUGUAAUACAAUCAAUCAAUGCAUCUAUAAUAUGUGUGGUUGAAUUUUAUAUAGCCACCAAUUAUAUGCUGAUUCUUCAAAAUAAUUACACAUAUAUCAUAACAUCAUUUACUUAUUGUAUGACUAAUAUAAUACCUCAAAGAUAUUUUAAAAAUUUUCCAUAGACAACAGUCAAUCAAGGGUAAAUCUUAAAUUACGUCAGAAAAAGUCUUUGAAAAAUAUUGAAGAAAGCAUUUACUUGUAUAAUAAAAAAUGCAUAUGAGGGGACAAAAAGAGUGAAGGUACGAGUUUCACUAUUAUCACAACAUUUAUUACUAUUUCAAACAUAGAAAUGUGAACAAUAAUGUAUUUUGUCGAAUUUUCUCUGUUGGUUAUUAAAAUUACUAUGUGUACAUGUGAUGAUUGCUUGCUACUGUGCAAUCCGAUAAUUUGACUUGGAGAAGUAAUCAUAGAAAUGUGAUGAUUACUUGGAGGAGAUUACUCCUAGACUGGCAAUAUUGGUCGUUAGGUUUCUUUGUAGAGCUGACGACAAACUUAUGAAAAUAACGUGACAUAUUGAUACACAACAACAAUAAUGGCAGUGCCAAUCUAUGCAGUGUACAAAAUGAUAUGGCCAAUUUUAAAAUGCGGAACAAAUGCGGAGACCAAAGAGACUGCAGAAACAGUCCCUGAGACAACAGCAAUAAGACAUCAAAAUUGGGAAGAAUUUUCUCAAUGAAGUCGAGACGUCAGGUCACCUAAAAAUGGAUAACAAUAUAUGGUUGUGACUAUCAGAAAAGACCAUAUGCUCGUUGAGUGUGUUUCAAGCAAGGGCUUUGUUUGGCCUUGCACAUAUGCACCCACAAUGCCGAUGAGUGCCGGAAUCAAAUAUCAAAAAAUGUUGAGAUAUGAGAUCGAGCAGAAGAGAUUUCGCCCACUGCAAAAUCAUUAAAAUGAAUAAUCAUCUUCUGUAUAUCCCAUUUCUUUUGAAAAAAAAAAUUAAAAUUAAAAAGACGCUAUAUUAAGUUCCACUCAAAUUGUCUGUCAAUUAUUUGCUUUCAACAAAUCCAAUUCUCCUAUAAAAAUUUGAUGAAGUGCUUUUCUAGUUUCCUUAACAUAUAUGAAAUAUUUUUCAUCUGUAACCCUGUUUCAUCAAAAUUUUACUAUAUACACGCUUGUUUCAACAACGAUCACCAUCACCCUUUAGUGUUACAUAUUGUUGUUGUCGUUAAUUUUGACAAUUUUGACGAUAAAAUAUAAAUUUACCCUCAUUUGAAUUUUGAAAUGUAAAAUUAUCAUAAAACCAUAACAAUAGUUUCAAAUUCCAGUUGACCUGUGCGGAAAUUAAAAUUUCUUAAAGGUUAGAAAAAAGUAAAAAUGUUUUGUUAUGGAAUCAAAAUAUCCCCUCUACCAUCAUCCAUAAUUAUCUAUUCUUGAUAACAAUCUAAUAAACUUGAAAAAGCAAUACAUCCAAUCCCUGUCAAUCAAACAGCCAAACUUCUUCAUAAAGUUUAGCUUUUACUUCUGAAAAUUCUAAUUCUUGAGACCCUAAAUAAAUGGAUAUUCAAAGUUACAUGUUUCUAGAACGAAAAUCUUCAAUUUAGUCCUUUUAAAUUUUGAAAACAUUAAUUUACAUCUAUUUAUCAGUCAAAGGAUUAGAAUAAAUGGAGGCACAUUGAUGACAAACUUUUUAUCUUAUUAAUGGUAUUUGAUAAAUAUAAAUAAAUUGAAAAUUGUCAUUUUAAGUGGAGGUAAAUUAAAAUUUUACUCUGUAUUUAUAGUGCUUUAGUAAGAGAAAGAAAGAAAACAGAAAACAAAUCUCUUCAACGGGAGGCUGAACAAAAUUUUCAGUAGGGACUCAACCAAUUUUUUUCACGGAAAUUUAAUUAGGAGAACAAAAACAAUUUGAAGUGGACCGCAUAUAUUUACUAAAAUAUAAUAUACAAAUUUGAGUCAAUAAUGAUAAAGAAAAUGACCAUACACAGAAGGGUUUGGAUUUGGAUGAUAAAGAAUCCAGUGGCAGCUCCGUAUUUGCGCAUAUAUAUAUAUAAACCCUGGAUUGAGUUUUCUUUUUAGCGAAUAACGUAGGGAACAGAAAACCUGAUCAAUUUGAAAAAAAAAAAGUAAUAAUAAUAAUUAAAUAAAAAAAUUAAAAUGUAACCUCAGCUUGAAACUUGGGAAUGGGAGGAUAAAAGGAAAAGGACAAUAAAAAAUAAAACUCUCACUUUAAGAACAUCUCAACUAUCUCUGCUUAAAAAAAUUAUCUCAUCUCGUGUGUGUGUGUGUGUAGGUAAAACGAGCCUCAUUUUUUAAUUCAAUUUAAUCUCCAAUCGUGAAAAUUUGGUUAAGCUAAAAUGCGGUGCGACCGGGGGGAGUUUCGUCGGAAGGUAAUCGGAUAUUAAAACGAACUCAAUAAGUUAUCAUGAAGCCUAUCGGCAUCAUACUGAAUUACUGAUGCAAAGACAAGCGUUGAAAAUGACUUCUCAGUUUCCAUUUCCCUGUUCCCAUCAAGGGUCAAAGGGCUCCAUUAGCUGCGCGUAAAGGGCCCCAGUGGGAAAUUUAAUCGGUAAGGGGUCCCAGUCAAAAAUGUGAAGGCAUUAAACAAUAGGGGUAAUUUGGGUAUUCGUUUAUUUAAUUUAAUUCGAUUUAAAGUAAAUAAGUUUGAGUUUAAAAAAAAUUAAUUUAUUUAAUAAAUGGUGAAUUCGACUUCAUUUUCACUUUUAGGUUAAUCUGUAUUAAUUAUUUUUAUACUUAUUUAAUUCUUUAUUUAUUGUUAUUGAAGUUUGUCCAGUCAUUUAUUUAUAAGUUUUUCUUUUAUGGAUAUAGUUUAAUAAUUUGGUUGAUGAUUAUGUUAAUCAAUUCUUUUAGGCUCAAUAUUUGAUUCUCUAAUCAUUUAAUUUAGACUUUGAAUUAAGUGUCUAUUUCUUUUUACAGUUCUAAGAGUUGGUUUUGUAGGUUGGACUUGAUCCUUUCAAAACGGUGUUAUUUAUUCAUUAAGUGUACAUGAUUUCUUUAAGAUACUGACAGCCAAAGGGAGAAAAAAAGAAAAAAAGAUUGGAAUGCAUAUAAAGAUACAAAUUAACGAUGAAAUAUGUAGGGAUAACCAAAAAUAAACAAAUAGUUAAGCAACUUUUCUUGAAUCUAUAGAUUUUUUUUUUUUAUCUUCUCAUAUUUUUUACAAAAUUAUUUGAAGAAUUAUUAUAUUUUUUAAUAUAAGAAUUUAUUAAAGUUGAUUAAUUAUUAUGCUCUCUCAUGCAAGCAAGAAUCAUUAAUGAAUAUGUGAUGAUUUGAUUAUUAGGUGUCCAAUAAUAUCCUACAAUAGCUUUUUUUUUUUUUUUUGAUACACUUAUAUAGUACAAUUAGAAUUUUUACUGAUAUUUACAAUCAGAAAUUAGUCGGAACCAUCCUGAAUAAGCCUAUUACAGCACAACCCGAAGUCAACGCUCACUUAAAAGCUGGAGGUGAUCAAUCCUACCCCAAUGUGGGUAGAUAACUAACCCCUAUUAUAUAGGGGAGUCAAUCCUACAAUAGCUUAUUGAAUUGCAAUACUUGGAUUAAAUCUCUUAAGAAAUUGGCUUUCUCAUCUUGUUGCAGAACUCAGUUAGCAACUUAAACACUAUUUCAUGUUGUUUGUCAAACUUUAUCCCUCUUAUUUUGCCUUGUGUCUUCUUCUUAGUCUAAUAAACUGCAUAUAAUAUUAUUACGUAUGAAUACAAGAAAUAGGAAAACAUAUAUAUAUAUAUAUAUAUAAUAAAAAAAUUUAAUAUUACCAGAAAUGUCUAGAGCACUAGGUAGUGCAACAUAUUUGUCAUUUAUUUGUAUAUACAUCAACUGUUGGAGAUGUUUGAAAGAAAUAUGAUCCAAGAGCCAUGCUACAAUGUAUUAUAAUUAUAUAAACCAAAUGACUAAACCAACUAUAUAAAUUCUUUCUCGCAAACAAGAUGAAGCACUAGAAAGUCAGCCAUAAGAUGUGCUUACCAUUUGGUUUCUUUUUUUUUUCAAAGUGAGUUUCAUAGUCUUUUUAUGUUAAAAAUCAACUUUAGUAUAUUAUGUGAUGAUUUUUCAAGUUGGAUUAUUUUAUUAUACUUUGAUUAAUUUUAUUAGUAUCCGAUCAUAUUAUGCAUUGUCGCACAAAAGGUUCUCGUACACAAGUUAUUUUUAAUUUAAAGUUUUUGUUAUUAGAUUUCAAUUUGUAGGACUGAAAUUUGUAAUCACGACUACUUAUUCUUAACAAUGAGACAAAAAGUUUUCUAAUACAAUAUAUAACUUGCCAUUUGCCAAAAAGGUAAUGGUCAGAAGAUAACAAUUUUUCGACUAAAAAUUUUUUCAUCACUGGAUAUCAAUUUACGUGACUAAAAUACGUCAUCAUAGAUGCUUGCUUUAAAUGAUGGUUAAAAAUAGUCAUUAAACUUUUCAGUUAUAAUGUAAAUAGUCGUGAAAAAAAAAUAUUGUUGUUAAAAAUCAUUUAAGACAAUAUUUAAUCUACUUUGCAACAAAAGAAACAGUCACAAAAUAACAUUUUUCGAUUCAAAAUUGUUUUGCCACGAGAUAUCAAUUUAAGUGACUAACCAUUGUAGUUGUGGAUGUAGGGAUGGCAAUGGGGCGGGGUGGGGGUGGGGAUGCCUACCCCAUUCCCCACCCCAUUAAAAAAUUUUGCCUCCAUUCCCCAAUAAAUUUAGUGGGUUGGGGAUGGGGAAUCCCCACGUGGGGAAUGAUUCCCCCAUCCCCACCCCAUUCCCCAUUUACAUAUUUUAUAGUAGAUAUAAAAAUAUGAUUUCAGUAAAUUAAAAAUUAGAGACUUAAGAUAAAAUCAUCACAAUAUUAUAAAGUAUUUAAUUUUUUUAAAAAAUCUCUAAAAAUUUGAAACAAUAUCUUAAAAUGAUAUUAAAAGUGAAAAAUAUUUAAAGAAAACAGCACCUUAAAAGAGAAAAGAAAAUAUAUUAAUGUUUUAAAGUUAAAAAAUAUUGUAGAAUUUUCUUUUAUUCAUAUUCUAUUUAUAUUACAUAAAAAUUAAAAAAAAUUAUUAAUUGACAUUAUAGUUGAUAAAAUACAAAUUAUUAAAUAAGAAUUAAAAACAUAUUUAUAUAUAAUGGGAAUGGGGAUUGGGGUGGGGGUGGGGUGGGGAGUGCAAUACCAAACCCUACCCCGUUAACAAUUUGGGGAUUACUUUUCCUCCACUCCCCACCCCAUUCCCCAAAAAUUAUUAAAAAAUUUCCCCAUUUGGGGUGGGGCUCCAUGGGGCCCCAAACCCGUGGAGGAUUUUGCCAUCCCUACGUGGAUGUUUGCUUCAAAUACCGAGAAAAUAGUCACCUGGAUUUUUCUGAUACGAUGUUACUAGUCAUAAGUGACAACUUGACAAUAAUAUAACGUCGUGAUAGGUAUACUUUAGCGACAAAAACAUAAUGUUGCUAAUUAUAUUUUUGAACCUCUAAAUUGAUGAUUUUGAGUAGCAAUUACUACUAUUUUUACUUACCCUUGAGACAAACAUUUUAGUCACUAUAAAUCACUAAUAGUAACGAAAAUAUAAUGUCGCUAAUUGCACUUUUGACUUUUGAACAUCUAAAUUGACCACUUUGAAUAUCAUUCACGAUGUGUUUAAUUUAAAUUUAGGACAAAUGGUUUAGUCAUAAAAACAUAUUAUUUUAUGUGACAAAUAAUUUUGGUUGCUAUAACCUAAUGUGACACACUUAGUGUGUUACUUUUUGUUAUUCCUGGAUUUGAAAGACAAUUAAUGGUGCACUUACUAAACGAGAGUCGGAAUGGGGUAGAAUCAGAAUGAAUUGGAAUCGAAAUGAGGAAUGAGAAUCAUAAUAAAUUGUGUAUUUUAUUUGUAGGAAUCAAAUUUGGAAUGAGCUGAAUUGCAAUUGAUGUGUUUACUUUGUCUUGGAAUUUAAAUAAGAAUGAAUUAGAUUGUUGUAAAUUACUAAAAAAAAAUUAAUUAACUAUUAUCAUAAUUAUUACUUUUUAUUUUAAUUAUUGUGAUUAUUAUUAAUAAAUAUUGUUAAUGAUAAUUAUUAUUAUUAACAUUAAUAUAAUAAUAAUGGUGAUGAUGAUGAUCAUCAACAAUAUCAUUGUUGGCAUAAUCAUCAUCAACAAUAUCAUUGUUGGCAUAAUCAUCAUCGUCGGCAUUAGAUUAAAACGCGACGGCUACUGUUGCUGCUUGUGACACAACGGCUGCUCAUGACUACUAGAUGUGACGAUUGGCAACUAGUUGUUGCUCCACAAGCAAUGACCGACAGCAACAAGGGAGCUCAUCCACGGAUUGCGUGCUUUUUUUUUAACUGAGGACAAAGUUGGGAUUAUUGAUUAUGUUGGGGGGCAAAAUUGUCACUCCUGGGAAUGAGAGACUAAUUCCCACCCCCUUGGGAAUCAGUCUCUCAUUUCCUAUUCCUAAAUUUGGGUGGGCUCCAUGAUUUCAAUUUCAAUAUUCGCUCUUUUUAUAAAGUAAAUGUUAUCAAUGAUUUCGAUUUUGGAUUCUAAUUCCCCAAUUUAGAAAUUAAACACACCAUAAGUGUAAUUUAUAUUAUGGCAGUUUCAUGGUCGAAAAAUUUCGGUUCGAUUUGGAAUGCCUAUCCCUCUAAUGUUUCACACACACAUGGUCCUCUACUUGUCAUUUCUACAAUUGGUCAUAUGUUUCUAGUCAAUUGCAAGAAGCAAUGUACUCUAGCUAAGUACAUGCAAAGGUCAAAAUCUUAAUCUUAAUUAAUUAAGAUUUAAUUUAUUUUAUAUUUUUAUCUAAUAACUAUCAAUUAUUUUUUCAUAAUAAUUAGAAAAAAAAAUUAGUUUAGUAUUGAAAUCAAAUCCACAUUAGAGUUGGGAUGUUACAAAUAUUUGUCAUAGCUGGAAGUUGAACAUGCAAAGGUUCCAGCAAGUGCCUACCAUCAAACUAGGUCAAGGUACAAAAUGCACCCAACAGAUGGAUAUGCAUGUCCUUUUGUUUGAGAUCUUGUGAGUACAAUGCUCCUAAUCCUCAAUACCACAUACAUAAAAAAAAUGGCCUAUAUAUAAACGCCGUUGUGAUUGAAGAAAAGCGGUAUUGCUAUUACUUACUCUUGCCAAUGGCCUUGAUGGACCACUUUUUCACAUCAAACUAACGCAUAAGAGGUAUAAAGCCUAGGUGUAGGAGAGAAAGCCACAACAUAUAUACAAAAACGCAAUUUGGAUAGACCUUGCCGAUCAUGCUAAGUUAAUUAAUCUGUCUGUGAAUGAAGAAGAUUCACCCUAAUUAAUGCUGAGUAAAUUAUUAGUAACCAGGAUGGACAUGUCAUAUGGUUAAUAGGAGCUUUAAAUCCUGAAACUCACCUGGCUACCUGAAUCAAGUGAGUAAGUUAACCACUUUGGUGGAGUUCGACUAUCUAGUUGACUAAUAUCUCAAAGAAAAGGGUAUGUUGAUUAUCAGAAUUUUACAUUCAGUUAAGCCAUUCUGAACAGAGAACUUUUCUUGCAAUGUGAAUUUGUUUUGUUUUUUUUUUUCUCUUUCCUUUUUCUUGAAGGCACGUGAAUUUGUUCUUAAACCCAUCUUAAUCUAGAUAAGCUUGCUGGAUGCUAUAGUCAUCACAGGAUCAGGUAUCUCAAUCAUGUGAGAUUUUUCCUUGGGUUGUUUGUGCCUAAAUAUCCAAGUAGCUAUGCCUGUUGUUGCCUCUGAAUUCUGAUCAUCUAUGCGUGUUUUUUCUCAGUCACAGCAAUUGCGAACAUACACUUAGUUAGUUCAACCAGUAAGAUUUCUUGAGAUAGUACGUAAAAUCGUUAAAUCAAAAUGAUUACGACCUAAGGCGGAUUCAUUUACUUUGAACUAGUCCUCUUUCUAUGUGGAUUACAAUUUGAAAUUAGACGAACCUAUUUUUUCAUUCAGAAAGAAAAAAAAAAUAUUUUUUUCCCUAUUACAGGUUUUCUCAUUGUUGAAGUAACUAGAGUCUCUCACAAGAGAAAAUCUAGAAUACAUCAGAUGUAAUACAACCAAUUAAUGCAUGUAUGAUAUGUGUAGUUGAAUUUUAUAUAAUCAUCAAUUACAUGUUGAUUCUCAAAGUAAUUGCACAUAUGUUAAAACAUCAUUUACUUGUUGUACAUUAGAUAUAAUACAACCAAUUAAUGCAUGUAUGAUAAGUGUAGUUGAAUUUUAUAUAACCACCUAUUACAUGUUGAUUCUCAAAGUAAUUGCACAUAUGUCAUAACAUCAUUUGCUUGUUAUAUGACUGACAUAGUACCUCAGAGAUAUUUCAGAAUUUUUCCGCUAACAAUACUCAAUCAAUGGUAAAGUUUAAAUUAUGUCAGAAAAAACAUUUGCACAAUUAUUGCUAUUUCAAACAUAGAAAUGUGAAGAGUACUAUAUUUUAUGGAAUUUUCUCCGUUAAUUCUUAAAAUUACUACGUGUACAUGUGAUGAUUGCUUGCUACUGUGUAAGGUGAAACAUUUAAUUUGAAGAAGAUUAAUUCCUUCUAGACUGGUAGUAUAGGUCGUUGCUGCCCUGUCGAGGAAUUCUUAUUAGCUUGAAACCUAUCGCAAAUGUCAAUGCAAAAUGGCUUCAAGGUUUUGUUGUAGAGCUGAUGACAAGCUUCUAAAAACAACAUACCAUAUUGGUACACAACUACAAUAAUGGUAGUCCCAAUCCAUGCAGUGUACAAAAUGAUAUGGUCAACAUUAGAACGUUGAGCAAAUGUAAAGACCAAAGAGAUUGCAGAAAUAGAUCCUAAGACAAUAGCAACAAGGCUCCACAACUGGGAAGAAUUUUCUCCAUGAAGUCGAGAUCUCAGGUCAGCUGAAUGUGCAUAGCAAUAUACGACUGUGGCUAUCCGAAAAGACCAUAUGUCCGUUGAAUGUGUUUCAAGCAAGGGCUUAGUUUAGUCUUGCAUAUUUGCACCCACAAUGCCAAUGAGAGCUGGAAUGAGAUAUCCAAAAAUAUUGGCAUAUGACAUGGAGCAGAAGAGAUUUUACCCACUGCAAAAUCAUAAAAAUGCAUGAUUAACCAUCUUAUGUAUAUCCCAUUUCCUUUGAAAAAAAAUAAAUGAAACUUAAAAAGACCCCAUAUUAAUUUCCAGUCAAAUUGUCUGUCAAUUAAUUAUUUGUUUUUCAAAGAUGCAAUUCUCCUCUAAAAAUUUGAGGGAGCGCUUUUCUAUUUUCAUUAACACAUACGAGAUAUUUUUCAUUUGCGUCCAAAUGUUUCACCAAAUCUUAUUGUGUGCACAUCUGUUUCAACAACUCUCACGGCUCACCGUUUUUGUUAAAUAUUGUUGUUGCCGUUAAUUUUGACAAUUUUGAUGUUAAAUGAUAAUUUUACCAGUCAUUGGAAUUAGGUGUAAAAUUACCAGAAAAUCACGACACUUGUUUCAAAUUCGAAUUUUGACCUAUGUGGAUAUUAAAAUUUCGUAAAGGUUUUUUUUUUUUUUAAAAAAAAAAGAAGUGUAAAAAUGUUUUCUUAUGGGAAUCAAAACAUCCCCUCUACCAUCAUCCAUAAUCAUAUAUUCUUGACAACAAUCUAAUAAACUUGAAAAGCAAGAAAUCCAAUCCGAAUCAAUAAAACAAUCAAAUUUCUUCAUAAAGCUUAGCUCUUGCUUUUGAAAUUUCCAAUUCUUGAGACUCUAAAUAAACCGAUAUUCAAAAUUACAUAUUUCUAGAAUAAAAACCUUCAAUUUACCCCUUUAAAUUUUUGAAAACAUCUAUUUGCCUCUAUUUAUCAGUCAAAAGAUUAGAAUAAAUGGAACCCCGUUGAUGACUAACUUUUUAUAUGCUUAAUGGUAUUUGAUAAAUAUAGCUAAAUUGGGGUAAAUUGAAAUUUUAUUCUACAUUUAGAGUGCUUUAAUAAGAGAAAGAAAGAAAGCAGCAAACCUGAUCUAUUUUAAUAAUAAUAAUAAUAAUAAUAAUAAUAAUAAUAAUAAUAAUAAUAAUAUUAUUAUUAUUAUUAUUAUUAUUAUUAUUAUUAUUAUUAUUAUUAUUAUUAAAUAAAUAAAUAAAUAAAAUUAACAUGUAAACUCAGCUUGAAACUUGGGAGAAAUAAAUAUGUGAAUUUUAUUACAUGUUGAUUCUUCAAAUUAAAAUGUAAACACACUCAAUAAACAUUAGACAUAAUACAACUAAUUAAUGCAUGUAUGAUAUGUAUCAUUGAAUUUUUUUACAUGCUGAUUCUUCAAAUUAAUUGCACACAUAUUAGAAAAUCAUGUGUUUGUUGUAUGAUGGACAUAGUAUCUAAAGAUAUUUUAAAAUUUUUCCUCUGAUAAUGCUCAAUCAAAUUAAGGGUAAAGGUUAAAUUAUGAUAGAAAAAGUCUUUGAAUAAUAUUGAACAAAGCAUUUACUUGUAUACUAAAAGAAUGCAUAUGAGGGGCCAAAAAGAGUGAAGAUAUGAGUUUGACUAUUAUCACAUCAAUUAUUACUAUUUCAAACAUAGAAAGAUGAAACUAACAUAUUUUGUGGAAUUUCCUCUGUUACUUACUUAAAAUUACUACGUUACAUGUGAUGAUUGCUUGUUAUUGUCUAAGGUGAAACAUUUAAUUUGAAAAAGAUUAGUUCCUUCUAGAUUGGUAGUACUGAUUGUUGCUGCCCUGUCGAGGAAGUAUUAUUAGCUUGAAACCUAUUGCAAAUGUCAAUGCACAAUGGCUUCAAGGUUUCGCUGUAGAGCUGACGACAAGCUUCAGAAAACAAUGUCCUGUAUUGAUACACAACAAUAAUGACAGUGCCAUUCCACGCAGCGCACAAAAUGAUAUGGCCAGUAUUAGAAUGUGGAAAAAAGGUGGAGAUCAAAGAGAUUGCAGAAGUAGAUCCUGAGACAACAGCAACAAGGCACCAGAACUGGGAAGAAUUUUCUCGACGAAGUCGAGACUUGAGGUCCACUGAAUGUGCAUAACAAUAUAUGACUGUGGCAAUGAGAAAAGACCAUAUAUUUAUUGAGUGUGUUUCAAGUAAGGGCUUAGCUUGGUUGCCUUGCGCAUUCGCACCCACAAUGCCGAUGAGAGCCGGAAUGAGAUAUCCAAAAAUAUUGGGAUAUGACAUCGAGCAGAAGAAAUUUCGCCCACUGCAAAUCAUUAAACUGCAUGAUUAACCAUCUUCUAUAUAUCCCAUUUCCUUUGAAAAAAAAAAUAAUAAAUAAAACUUAAAAAAGACCUCGUAUUAAUUUCCACUCAAAUUGUCAGUCAAUUAAUUUAUUACUUAUUUUCUUUUGGCUGAUGUAAUCUCCUCUAAAAAUUUGAGAGAGCACUUUUCUAUUUUCAUUAGCACAUGUAUAUGAGAUAUUUUUCAUCUGCGUCCAAAUUUUUCAUUAGAUUUUAUUGUGCGCGGACUUGUUUCAAUAACUCUCAUGACUCACCUUUUUUGUUAAAUAUUGUUGUUGCCAUUAGUUUUGAUGAUUAGUGUAAAAUUAUUAGAAAACCACAACACCUGUUUCAAAUUCCAAUUUUGACCUACAUGGAAAUUAAAAUUUCUUAAAGGUUAAAAAAAAGAGUAAAAAUGUUUUCUUAUGGGAAUCAAAAUAUCCCCUCUACCAUCAUCCAUAAUCAUCUAUUCUUGAUAUUAAUCUAAUAAACCGAUAUUCAAAAUUACAUGUUUCUAGAAUGAAAAAAACUUCUAUUUAUCCCUUUAAAUUUUUUAAAACAUCUAUUUACCUCUAUUUAUCAGUCAAAAGAUUAGAAUAAAUAGAAGCGCGUUGAUGACUAACUUUUUAUCUGCUUAAUGGUAUUUGAUAAAUGUAGAUAAAUUGGGGUAAAUUGAAAUUUUAUUCCACAUUUAGAGUGCUUUAAUAAGGGAAAGAAAGAAAACAGAAAACAAAUCCCUUCGAUACGAGGCUUAACAAAAUUUUCAGCAUGGACCUAACCAAAAUUUUUUCACGCGAAUUAAAUUAGGAGAACAAAAACAAUUUGAAAUGGACUGCAUAUGUAUACUCAAAAAUAAAAUACAGCUUGAGUCAAUAAUGGUAAAGAAAAUGACCAUACACCGAAAGGUUUGGAUCUUGAUGAUGCAGAAUGCAGUGGCAGCUUUGCAUUUGCAUUUAUAUACCUCGCCAAACCCCGGAUUGGGUUUUCUUUUUCACGGCAAAUAAGGCAGGGACAAGCAAACCUGAUCGAUUUUAGAACAAAAAUAAUUAAAUAAAUAAAUAAAAGUAAAAUGUAGACUCAGCUUGAAACCUUGGAGAAAAAAAUAACAAUAACAAAGUAAAAAAAAUCACUUACCUUAAGAACAUCUCAAUUAUCUCGUGGAUUGGGUGUUUAUACGGGCAAAAUGAGGGCCAAUUCAACCCCAAUGUAAUCCCGAUUCCGGAACACGUUUGGUCAAGCUCAAGUGCGGCCGAAUGGGGAGGGUUUCCUAGAAAGGUCGCACGGUAGUCCCCCUUAGAAAGUGAAAAUGAAGCCUAUCCUCAAUCAUACUGAUGCAACACAAGGGAGAUUUUUUUUUGGUUAGAUGUAGAGAAUGAUUAAACAGGUCCCAUCAAGUUCAGCGGGCAAGGGCCCCCCGGUAGCUACACGUGAAGAGGGGGCCCCCAGCGCCCCGGCGGGGAAAUUUAAGUGGUACGGUGCCAAUUAAAAUGUGAUUAACUUAUCAAAUAUCAAGAUUUUUUCCAAUAAGGACAUUAGUUUUGCAUUCGUUCGUCUCAAUUAAAUGGUACGGUCCAAUUAAAAUGUUACUAACUUAUCAAAUAUCAAGAUUUUUUUCCAAUAAGGGCAUUAGUUUUGCAUUCGUCUCAAAUAGGUCCCUAACCUUGUAUGACGACUAAGAUACCCUUAGGCGUUAUAUAACUUAGGAAAAUGAUGUUUGUCUCGGGUUAAAUCCCAAAAAUAACUUAAACGGCGUCGUUUUGAGUUUUUUUUUUCUUUUUUAUACUCCAAAACGUUGCCGUUUCUGAUGGACGAUUUUGAGAAGAAUUAAACAAACCUCUUCCUCUUCGUUUCUUCGUUUCAGCUGGGAAAGCCACAGAUAGAAGAGCAAGUUCGUUAAAAAAAUUUGUUUUUUCGUUUCUUCGUUUCUUCGUUUGUUAAAAAAUUUCGUUACUUUCCUUCCUCGACCAAGGUCCAGGCAUUCGGGAUCCACCAACGGUCACCGUCAACGCUGACAGCCACGGUCACCGUCAACGCUGACAGCCACGGUCACCGUCAACGCUGGUAACGCUGGUAGCCGAAACUUGUUUGGGAAAUUAAACUCACGAAGCGGCAAAGUUCACAGCCUGAGGUAAUGCUUCGUUUUUUCCUCUUUAGGUUAUGGCAAAAUGGGGAAGAUCUAGGUUAGGACAGUUAUGAUUAUUUUUCGGCUGAAUUUGGAUAGCUAUUGUGAUUCCCGUUUUAUUUAAGUGUGUUAAAUUGCAAUUGAUUUUCGGCUGAAUUUGGGUACAAUUUUGAAUUUGCUAAUGUUGAGGUUGAGGAUGAGGAUGAGGAUUAGUAUUAUUGAUGGAGGCUUCUAUUGUGUGCAUUUUGGUAUAUAGAUUGUGUGCAUUUUGGUAUAUAGAUUGCUGGCUGGCUGGUUGAUUGUCGAAUUUAUUGGUAACUUGUUGAACUUGGUUGCUGGUUGUUUGCUUGUACAGUUUAUUGGUAACUUUGUUGAACUUGGUUGCUGGCUGGUUGCUGGUUGCUUGUAGCCUUUCUGGCAUAUUGGUUGUAGUUUCAAACCUUUGUGAUUGUGUGUGUGUGUGUGUGUGUGUCUGUGUGUGUGUGUCUGUGUCUCUGUGUGUGUGUGUGUGUGGUUCUGUGUGUGUGUGUGUCUGUGUGUGUGUAUGGUUGUGUGUGUGUGUGGUUGUGUGUGUGUGUGUGUGUGUGUGUGUGUGUCUGUGUGUCUGUGUGUGUGUGUCUGUGUGUCUGUGUCUGUGUGUCUGUGUCUGUGUGUGGUUCUCUGUGUGUGUGUGUGUGUCUGUGUCUGUGUUUUGAAUGUUUGGAAGAGGUUUUAGUAUGUUAUCUGUUUUUGGAAUAAUAGUUUCCCACCAUACCAAUAAAUCAGGGCUGCAUUGGCUGCCGUCAGGAACUGCCUGAUAAAUAAUUCGAGCCCUGCAUACCAGGAUUGCUUCUGGCUUUCUUUUUUGGGGCUUAUCUCUGUAUGCUUAUGAAGUUUCAGAAUCAUUUGUAAAUCAAAUGCUGUAAUGAUGUUGUGGUUUCCAACAGCCUCACUUGCUAAUCCACUGCUCUUGCUCUUGCUCUGCCAACAACCAAUAUGCCAGAAAUAACACACACACACACAGACACACACACACACACACACACACACACACAGAACCCCACACACACACAUACACACAGAACCACACACACACACACAGAGAACCACACACACACACACAGACAAACACACACACACACACAGAGAACCACAGACACACACACACAGAACCAUACACACACACAAGACACACACACACACACAGAAUUUGACACACAUUGUUCUGGUUUUCUUUUCAUUAUUAACUGUAAUUGUAUCCCUUUUCGGCAGUUUCUUUCCAACGGUAUAUGGCUUCACAAACAAUGUCAUCCAACACAAGCGAGAAUCGAAUGUGUAAUGGAUGCGGUGAUCAGAUGGAGCUGUUAACGUCACACAUAACAAAAAAUCCAAAUCGCAAAUUUUGGAUUUGUAGAGGAUAUAACAACUUUCAAUGGGCAGAAGAUCGUAAAUCUAGCGAAGAGAAGAUAAACUUGUUAGUGGAUGAGGUUAGGAAGUUGGCCUUGGAGAUUGAGUGUUUGGCCGUAAAAUUUCAAUUAUUGCAUAAAGAACUUGAGCAUAUGCGAGAUCGUGAAGUGCAGAGGCAAUUGUUGGACAACGAACUUCGAAAGAGAGAGGCACCACGAUAUGAUUUUAUUAAAUUAAUCAUGAUUGUUGUAUUAUGUUAUCUAUUUAAGUACUGUUUUUAAGUUGUUUGUAUUUGUACUAUGUUACUGGAAAAUACUUCUAUUGUAGAAUUUGACCACGAUAUGUAAUAACAUUUUCAUGUAAUAACAUUUUCAUGCAAUGCUCGGACUCACGGCAUGGUUGUGUUCAAGGAUCAAAUUUCCAAUUACCCAUUUUCCACUAACAAUAUCCAAACGUCCUCCAAUUUUAGCAUUGCAUCCAAUUUUUUGGUUUGGUUGAAGCCGCAAAACAUUAGUGGCUUUGGCUUUUGACUUCCCGUUUCUCCCACAAGUAAAUGUAACAUAUCUCAAACUCCCAUCUUCCCCUUUUCUACAAGAUCUCCGCAUCACUGGAAACCCCUCUUGUAGACCAUACGUUUUAUAAUAUUCAAACAUUUCAUCAGGACUAUCAAAAGACAUCCCAACUGUAGGCUCAACAACAUUUUCCACCACCAAUUCCUCAUUGUUUUCUUCCAAAUUAGCCCCCCAGUAAAUCCUGCAAUUCCCCAACUUCAUCAACCUCCUCCACUUGUUCGAAAUUAUCCAUUAACUGCUGCAAAUGAAAAUGGGAAGAGUUAAUCGAAAUUAUCCACUUGUUCGAAAUUCCCCAAUGCAAAUGCAUGUUAAUUUGCCUAAAGUUUUCAUAUGAUUCUAGGCAGUAAAAGAUGAGAAAAAAGAUUUUAAUCAACAAUGCAAACCCUCCCACCCCAAUUCGUAAGUAUUGCGCAAGUUCUGUAGUUCUUUAAUUGCUCAUGCCGAUUCCAAAAUUUAGUAAUAAUAAUAAUAGAAUAAGAAGAGGAAUUUUAUUCUCGAGCAUUAUCAUACUUUAAUGCAUGUACCCAUUAUAUUAACUUAAUUGUCAAAUAACGGCAAUAUCACCCAAAACAAAGUUUCAUACAAUGUUGUAAAAAAUAAAUUAUGAUUUGAGAACUGAAAAAAUAAUAUGAGAACUGAAAAAAUGAGACAAAUCAAGAAUAUGAGAACUGAAAAAAUUAAUUCAAUGUUACAAUGUUCUAAAAACGAAGGCCAACUUCCUAAAAUAAAAUUAAAAAACAAAAUGCUACAAUGUUAAUCUUCCGUCCAAACUCAGCUUUCAACCGUCCAAAUUCAGCUUGUCCAAACUCAGCUUUCAACCGUCCAAACUCAUCUUGUCCAAACUCAUCUUUCAACCGUCCAAACUCAUCUUUCAAGGACACAUUUCGCAGCCGAAACUCAGCUGCUGUUGGUCUUGUUCUUCAAUGGGUGCGAAACGAAAAAGAAACUCAGACGCUUUCAACUCAGCUUACAAGGACAAAUUUCGCAGCCGAAACUCAGCUGCUGUUGGUCUUGUUCUUCAAUGGGUGCGAAACGAAAAACAAACUCAGACGAAGAGGAUGGAGCUUUAAUUAGUAGAUCCCGUUCUGCUGUCGAUGAGUGCUCCGGCUGUGGAUCUCGGUCGAGGAUGGAAGAAACGAAAAAGAAACGAACAAACGAAAAAGAAAAUAAAAGAAAACGACGCAAAUCAUUCAAUAAACAAACGAAAAAGAAAAAAAAAAAAAAAAGAAACGACGCCAUUUUGUAUUUUUCGGGGUUUGACCCGGGGCAAACAUCAGCACUCUAUAACCUAUACACUUGCUGUUUUGUUCUGCAAAGGAAGGACAACACCCUUUACCUCAGAGCCUUUGAGCUCAGUCUGAGGGCACAUAAAAGGUCGCUUGAAGAACAAGCGGAGUUGAUGUGAGUGUUGCGUUGCCGCAUGGCAAAGAAUAAGAGGGUAUCGCACUAUCGCUAAUCCCUGCGGCAUUUGACGACUAUUAUUAUCAAAACAAGUAUAAAAUUUGACGAAAAUAUCACAACAAUUAUUACCUUCGAUAAAAUUUAACAAAAAUAUAUAUCAUUGGUAUUUCAAAUAUAGAAAUCCGAGUAUAAUAGAAAUAUUUCAAUCUAGAAUCAUAGAUUUCUUAAAGUCUGAAAAAGUUAUGAUUUAAUACAAUAAUAGUUGGAAAAGCUAUUAAGGCAUAAGAUUUUAGUAGUAUAAUAACAUUAUACUAUUAAAUCAUAUGUCUUAAUAACUUUCCCAAACUAUAAUAAAAUUUAGGAUCAUGAAUCAAAUUAGUACACCUGAACACAAAUAUAAUAUAAAUAUAUAUGUUUACGGAAUUUCUCCACUACAUUUCUUUUUGUUCUAAGGAGGUUGUUCCUUAUCACUAGACCUAUAACUUGACAUAGCAGUUAUGAUGAUUGCUACUAGCAGGUGAAACAUUUAAAGAAGAGUUAUUAGCUUGAACCUAUUGCAAAUGUCAGAGCCAAAAGGCUUCAAUGUUUCAUGGUAGAGCUGAUGACAAGUGGUGGCAGCGGUUCAAGCUUUUGUGGGGGCUAAAUGUUCUUAAUAUUUAUAAAUUAUUUUCUCUUUCGAAAUGCGAGUGGGAUAUGAAUAUCCCUCCUUUGUGAGAGGUUAUUUGUCUGGACAUGUACUUCACAUAAUUUAAUAUAAUAAUGUAAGUCUCAAUCAUGUACUUCACAGAAUUCAAUGUAAUAAUGUAAAUCUCAAUCAUGUAUAUCUGAUUGUAAAUAUCAGUGUAAUAUAUUUACUAUAAUAAUAAUUGUAAAUAUUUAUGUAAUGUAGUAAUCUGAUGUGUAAUCAGUAUUUAAAAAAAAAAAAAAAGACUGGUGACAAGCAUAAAUAAACAAUAUGAGAUAGUGAUACACGACAAUGAUAAUAGCAAAGCAAAUCCAUUAAAGUGUGCAAAAUGAUGUGACCGCUGACCAGUAUUUGACCAAUAUUAAUAUUAGAGCGUUGGCUGUUGAGACCAAAGAGAGUGCAGAAACAGACCCUUGGACAACAACAAGGCCCCCGCCACCAAAAUCAGGAAGAAACUUUUCGAUGAAGUUUAGACCUCAGUGCCAGCUAAACAUGCAUAACAAUAAAUGGUUAUGGCUAUCAGAAAAGACCAUAUAUUUACUAAGUGUGUUUUAAGUAAGAGCUUAGUUUUACCUUACAUAUUUGUAGUGUCGCAUUCAGAAUUAAAGCCUAAUAGCAGCAAAUAUAAUUUCUUUAAUUUAUUUUCCUAAAAUGUUUUAAAAUAAUUUUGGAUAUAACAUACUCAUUUAAAAUGAUUUUAAUGAUGAUAAUUUAAUUUUCAGUAUAUAAUCUUAUAAAUUACUUAAAGUCGGUGGAGUAAAUUAAAAAUUUUAUUAGGACAAAAAUUUUUUUAUUGAAUUUUAGAAAAUAUUUUUAGAAAAAAGAUUAAGACUUACGGGGACAACUGCCACAGCUUGUCUUUACGUGACUCCACCAGUGCCGAUAUUUGCACCCACAAUGCCGAUAGGAGCUGCAAUGAGAUAUCCAAAAAUACUAAGGUAUGUGAAUAAAGAAAUCAUCUUAGACCCACCAGUCCUUUGAACUAAAACCACCAACAUGCGAAGAAGAAGGAUUUAGAAUAAAUAAAUAAAUACAAAGUUUUGCUUUUUUUUUUUGCUACAAGAGAAGAAAAUUUGAAUUAGCUAUUUGGAAGAGAUAGGCAUGCUCAAACUAAAUUUUUCCCUUGGGUAUUAAUCAAUGGUCAUAACCCGGAUUUGAAAUGGUAAUUUAAUUUCGCUGUUACCCAGAUUUGAAAGACAGUAUUAAGUGCAAUUUAUGUUUCAGCAGUUUAUGGUCGAAAAUGUAAGUGAAGUCGUUAGCAGAUUGCCUAUUAUUAGGAUUUUUAUUGAUCUAAAUUCUCUUGAAUUUUUAAGAUGCGUACUGUAGUAGUAAGGUAUGGAUAGAAUUUAAGUUCUUAAUUUUUUUUUUAUGUAUUAACCACCAAUCAACGUAUGAAUUUAAGAAAUUUAGAUCAGAAGAGAAUUUCAUCCUUUUGUAUUGAGAUGUUAUAAUUUAAAAAACUGAAAAUAAAUUAUAAUUAUAAAAUAAAAAUUAACAUCUUAAUAAUUUUGACCGAAAAGUAAAAAUACUGUAGAUUUUUCAUUAUAUAUGUAGUAAAUUAAAUCAAUUUAAUUUUUAAGCCACAAUUAUUAUUAUCUACCAAAUAUUUAGGGCUAUAGCUAACCUUAACACUAAAUGGGGGCAUUCGGCUCCCACGAUUAAUCUGUUGAGGCUGCAUUGGUUGGAAUGUACGAUGAGGAUGGCAUUUUUUGUCUUAUUCGUGCUUCAUAAAUCAUUAUAAAGCCGAUUAUUCGUGGCAGACAUUUGAUUAAUAUCUCCUCGCGGUUUCAUAUGGAAAAUUGGGAUGUUACCAGCGUUGUGUUGUCUUAAUAUUUUCCUGUAGUUUUUGCAACCCAGUACGCCACCUGUCAUCUUGUUUGCCCUCGAGGAUGAACAGAAGCCCAGUGCGCAAUGGGCAAAAGGAUUGACAGUGACUUGGUUUCAGGUACAAUUUGUCCGCAACAGCAAAUUAAAUAAAAUAAAGUAAUAAUUAAUAAAUAGAUUAAUUUGAAGAAAUUUAAAUUUUUAUUAAUAUAUUUUUCGUAUUUCAAGGAUUAAAUACCUCUCUAGUUUUUUUUAUACACUUAUUUAUUACAAUAUUGAUAUUUAGAAUCAGAAAUUUAUCAGAACUUAUUUGAGUAAUUCUAUUAUAGCACAAGCUGAAUAUCAAUCCUCACUAAAUUGGAGAAAAAUUUGUCUUCACUAUUAUUAAAGAGAAAUCGAUCAUAUUCCUACCCCAAUAUGGGGAGUCAAUUAACUCCCAUUAUAUAGAAAAAUAAAUCCCAACGAUGACCCUAAGCUGGGACUUGAAUCCAUGCCCUCAAGGUUGUUGAGGGCAUGGGCACACCAAUGGGCUUGUAGCCCAUUGGCAAAUACCUCUCUAGUUGAUAAAUAAUAUUCCAGAUUUUUAUUACUAUAGUUGAUGCUAGUUAGUCCACAUAUAAAACUUAAAAAUUAAGAAUAGGAAUAAAAACUAGACACCAUUAAUUUAAACUAAAACAAAUAAUUUGUUCACUAACCAACCACAAGUUUACUAAGUCCAAGUACACGUUAAUCACGACCAAUAGGAUGAAUACAGUUUAAAACAAAUAAAAAUAUAGAAUUAGGGAUCGUAACACUCCUUCACCUUAAAAGUACUCUUUGCCGUCAAGGGUGGACUUUGUUAAGGAGUCUUCUCUCGUCAACAUACUUCUCCGAAUUUGACCACGACAACAUAAUAAUGGCUAGAGUCCCGUCACCGUCCAACCAUAAUGGCCACUUCAAGGCCAAAGGUUUUGCGUGUGUGCAUGCUUCUUGACUUUUUCAUUGGUGCAUUAAAUUUUGUUUUGUAUUCCGAAAUCAAGCAUGCAUGCAUGCUCCUUGGCUCUUUUCAUAUUCCACAAGGAUGCAUUAAAAAAUAAAACUCUCACUUUAAGAACAUCUCAACUAUCUCUGCUUAAAAAAAUUAUCUCAUCUCGUGUGUGUGUGUGUAGGUAAAACGAGCCUCAUUUUUUAAUUCAAUUUAAUCUCCAAUCGCGAAAAUUUGGUUAAGCAAAAAUGCGGUGCGACUGGGGGGAGUUUCGUCGGAAGGUAAUCAGAUAUUAAAACGAACUCAAUAAGUUAUCAUGAAGCCUAUCGGCAUCAUACUGAAUUACUGACGCAAAUGACUUCCGAGUUUCCAUUUCCCUGUUCCCAUCAAGGGUCAAAGGGCUCCAGUAGCUGCGCGUAAAGGGCCCCAGUGGGAAAUUUAAUCGGUAAGGGGUCCCAGUCAAAAAUGUGAAGGCAUUAAACUAUAGGGGUAAUUUGGGUAUUCGUUUAUUUAAUUUAAUUCGAUUUAAAGUAAAUAAGUUUGAGUUUAAAAAAAAUUAAUUUAUUUAAUAAAUGGUGAAUUCGACUUCAUUUUCACUUUUAGGUUAAUCUGUAUUAAUUAUUUUUAUACUUAUUUAAUUCUUUAUUUAUUGUUAUUGAAGUUUGUCCAGUCAUUUAUUUAUAAGUUUUUCUUUUAUGGAUAUAGUUUAAUAAUUUGGUUGAUGAUUAUGUUAAUCAAUUCUUUUAGGCUCAAUAUUUGAUUCUCUAAUCAUUUAAUUUAGACUUUGAAUUAAGUGUCUAUUUCUUUUUACAGUUCUAAGAGCUGGUUUUGUAGGUUGGACUUGAUCCUUUCAAAACGGUGUUAUUUAUUCAUUAAGUGUACAUGAUUUCUUUAAGAUACUGACAGCCAAAGGGAGAACAAAAGAAAAAAAGAUUGGAAUGCAUAUAAAGAUACAAAUUAACGAUGAAAUAUGUAGGGAUAACCAAAAAUAAACAAAUAGUUAAGCAACUUUUCUUGAAUCUAUAGAUAUAUUUUUUUUAUCUUCUCAUAUUUUUUACAAAAUUAUUUGAAGAAUUAUUAUAUUUUUUAAUAUAAGAAUUUAUUAAAGUUGAUUAAUUAUUAUGCUCUCUCAUGCAAGCAAGAAUCAUUAAUGAAUAUGUGAUGAUUUGAUUACUAGGUGUCCAAUAAUAUCCUACAAUAGCUUUUUUUUUUUUUUUUUUGAUACACUGAUAUAGUAAAAUCAGAAUUUUUACUGAUAUUUACAAUCAGAAAUUAGUCGGGACCAUCCUGAAUAAGCCUAUUACAGCACAACCCGAAGUCAACGCUCACUUAAAAGCUGGAGGUGAUCAAUCCUACCCCAAUGUGGGUAGAUAACUAACCCCUAUUAUAUAGGGGAGUCAAUCCUACAAUAGCUUAUUGAAUUGCAAUACUUGGAUUAAAUCUCUUAAGAAAUUGGCUUUCUCAUCUUGUUGCAGAACUCAGUUAGCAACUUAAACACUAUUUCAUGUUGUUUGUCAAAUUUUAUCCCUCUUAUUUUGCCUUGUGUCUUCUUCUUAGUCUAAUAAACUGCAUAUUAUAUUAUUACGUAUGAAUACAAGAAAUAGGAAAACAUAUAUAUAAUAAAAAAAUUUAAUAUUACCAGAAAUGUCUAGAGCACUAGGUAGUGCAACAUAUUUGUCAUUUAUUUGUAUAUACAUCAACUGUUGGAGAUGUUUGAAAGAAAUAUGAUCCAAGAGCCAUGCUACAAUGUAUUAUAAUUAUAUAAACCAAAUGACUAAACCAACUAUAUAAAUUCUUUCUCGCAAACAAGAUGAAGCACUAGAAAGUCAGCCAUAAGAUGUGCUUACCAUUUGGUUUCUUUUUUUUUUCAAAGUGAGUUUGAUAGUCUUUUUAUGUUAAAAAUCAACUUUAGUAUAUUAUGUGAUGAUUUUUCAAGUUGGAUUAUUUUAUUAUACUUUGAUUAAUUUUAUUAGUAUCCGAUCAUAUUAUGCAUUGUCGCACAAAAGGUUCUCGUACACAAGUUAUUUUUAAUUUAAAGUUUUUGUUAUUAGAUUUCAAUUUGUAGGACUGAAAUUUGUAAUCACGACUGCUUAUUCUUAACAAUGAGACAAAAAGUUUUCUAAUACAAUAUAUGACUUGCCAUUUGCCAAAAAGGUAAUGGUCACAAGAUAACAAUUUUUCGACUAAAAAUUUUUUCAUUACUGGAUAUCAAUUUACGUGACUAAAAUACGUCAUCAUAGAUGCUUGUUUUAAAUGAUGGUUAAAAACAGUCAUUAAACUUUUCAGUUAUAAUGUAAAUAGUCGUGAAAAAAAUAUAUUGUUGUUAAAAAUCAUUUAAGACAAUAUUUAAUAUACUUUGCAACAAAAGAACAGUCACAAAAUAACAUUUUUCGAUUCAAAAUUGUUUUGCCACGAGAUAUCAAUUUAAGUGACUAACCAUUGUAGUCGUGGAUGUUUGCUUCUAAUACCGAGAAAAUAGUCACAUACGAUGUUACUAGUCAUAAGUGACAACUUGACAAUAAUAUAACGUCGUGAUAGGUAUACUUUAGCGACAAAAACAUAAUGUUGCUAAUUAUAUUUUUGAACCUCUAAAUUGACGAUUUUGAGUAGCAAUUACUACUAUUUUUACUUACCCUUAAGACAAACAUUUUAGUCAUUAUAAAUCACUAAUAGUAACGAAAAUAGAAUGUCGCUAAUUGCACUUUUGACUUUUGAACAUCUAAAUUGACCACUUUGAAUAUCAUUCACGACGUGUUAAAUUUAAAUUUAGGACAAAUGGUUUAGUCAUAAAAACAUACUAUUUUAUGUGACAAAUAAUUUUGGUUGCUAUAACCUAAUGUGACACACUUGGUGUGUUUAAUUGUAAUUUACUUUUUGUUAUUCCUGGAUUUGAAAGACAAUUAAUGGUGCACUUACUAAACGAGAGUCAGAAUGGGGUAGAAUCAGAAUGAAUUGGAAUCGAAAUGAGGAAUGAGAAUCAUAAUAAAUUGUCUAUUUUAUUUGUAGGAAUCAGAUUUGGAAUGAGCUGAAUUGCAAUUGAUGUGUUUACUUUUUCUUGGAAUUUAAAUAGAAAUGAAUUAGAUUGUUGCAAAUUACUAAAAAAAAUUAAUUAACUAUUAUCAUAAUUAUUACUUUUUAUUUUAAUUAUUGUGAUUAUUAUUAUUCUUAUUAUUAAAUAUUGUUAAUGAUAAUUAUUAUUAUUAACAUUAAUAUAAUAAUAAUGGUGAUGAUGAUGAUCAUCAUAAUCAUCAUCAACAAUAUCAUUGUUGGCAUAAUCAUCAUCGUCGGCAUUAGAUUAAAACGCGACUGCUACUGUUGCCGCUUGUGACACAACGGCUGCUCAUGACUACUACUGCUUGUGAUGUGACGACUGGCAACUAGUUGUUGCUCCACAAGCAAUGACCGACAGCAACAAGGGGGCUCAUCCACGGAUUGCGUGCUUUUUUUUUUUUUUUUUAACUGAGGACAAAGUUGGGAUUAUUGAUUAUGUUGGGGGGCAAAAUUGUCGCUCCUGGAAUGAGAGACUGAUUCCCACCUCCUUAGGAAUCAGUCUCUCAUUUCCUAUUUCUAAAUUUAGGUGGACUCCAUAAUUUCGAUUUUAAUAUUCGCUCUUUUUAUAAAAUAAAUACUAUCAAUGAUUUCGAUUUUGGAUUCUACUUGUCAUUUCUGGCAGUUUCAUGGUCGAAAAGUUUUGGUUCGAUUUGGAAUGCCUAGCCCUCUAAUGUUUCACACACACAUGGUCCUCUACUUGUCAUUUCUACAAUUGGUCAUAUGUUUCUAGUCAAUUGCAAGAAGUAAUGUACUCUAGCUAAGUACAUGCAAAGGUCAAAAUCUUAAUCUUAAUUAAUUAAGAUUUAAUUUAUUUUAUAUUUUUAUCUAAUAACUAUCAAUUAUUUUUUCAUAAUAAUUAGAAAAAAAAUUAGUUUAGUAUUGAAAUCAAAUCCACAUUAGAGUUGGGAUGUUACAAAUAUUUGUCAUAGCUGGAAGUUGAACAUGCAAAGGUUCCAGCAAGUGCCUACCAUCAAACUAGGUCAAAGUACAAAAUGUACCCAACAGAUGGAUAUGUUAGAUUUAUUUCUCAUAUUAUGUGGACUGACAUAAAUCAUUCUAAUUGUUUUCUAUAUUUUACCGAAUUAAUACGUGACUAAUGUCAAAUAUUAUGGAGCAAUUUUGACAGACUGAUCAAAUAUUGUGUUAAUGAGUCUGAUUUUGACAUACCCUAUACAGUAGUAUAGUAUGGACAAGUAUAAUCCUUAAUUGUGUUAUUUUAGCUCAUAAUGGGAUGGGCAAUUUUGUACUAACACAUGAGGGGUCCAUGCGCUCAACCACUGUGUUUAAGUAACUUCAGCCCAUUGGCAGGUUACUGUUCAAGAAAUCUGUGGCAUGAGUGCAGUGCACCUCUCUCUCUCUCUCCCUCUUGUCUCCCGUGUGUGCACAGUGACUUGUUGAGGAAAGCUGAAGGAAAGGAAGCGGGAAUUCAUAAGCUGGAUCAAAGUUGUAGCAACUCUGUUAAAGCUCCAUAACAAGCUUCCAAGCUCGGAUCCAUGGGAGAUCAUGGUAAAUUUUCGAAAUGACCUAAAAUAUGUGUUUAUUUGGAAAUGCAAUAUUAAGGGUAUAAAGUUUAUUUUUGUUUCAUCAGGAUAUGCAUGUCCUUUUGUUUGAGAUCUUGUGAGUACAAUGCUCCUAAUCCUCAAUACCAUAUACAUAAAAAAAUGGCCUAUAUAUAAACGCCGUUGUGAUUGAAGAAAAGCGGUAUUGCUAUUACUGACUCUUGCCAAAGGCCUUGAUGGACCACUUCUUCACAUCAAACUAACGCAUAAGAGGUAUAAAGCCUAGGUGUAGGAGAGAGAGCCACAACAUAUAUACAAAAACGCAAUUUGGAUAGACCUUGCCGAUCAUGCUAAGUUAAUUAAUCUGUCUGUGAAUGAAGAAGAUUCACCCUAAUUAAUGCUGAGUAAAUUAUUAGUAACCAGGAUGGACAUGUCAUAUGGUUAAUGGGAGCUUUAAAUCUGAAACUCACCUGGCUACCUGAACCAAGUGAGUAAGUUAACCACUUUGGUGGAGUUCGACUAUCUAGUUGACUAACAUCUCAAAGAAAAAGGUAUGUUGAUUAUCAGAAUUUUACAUUCAGUUAAGCCAUUCUGAACAGAGAACUUUUCUUGCAAUGUGAAUUUGUUUUGUUUUUUUUUUUUUUUUUUUCUCUUUCCUUUCUUUUGAAGGCACGUGAAUUUGUUCUUAAACCCAUCUUAAUCUAGAUAAGCUUGCUGGAUGCUAUAGUCAUUACAGGAUCAGGUAUCUCAAUCAUGUGAGAUUUCUCCUUGGGUUGUUUGUGCCUAAAUAUCCAAGUAGCUAUGCCUGUUGUUGCCUCUGAAUUCUGAUCAUCCAUGUGUGUUUUUUCUCAGUCACAGCAAUUGCGAACAUACACUUAGUUAGUUCAAUCAGUAAGAUUUCUUGAGAUAGUACGUAAAAUCGUUAAAUCAAAAUGGUUACGACCUAAGGCGGAUUCAUUUACUUUGAACUAGUCCUCUUUCUAUGUGGAUUACAAUUUGAAAUUAGACGAACCUAUUUUUUCAUUCAGAAAGAAAAAAAAAAUAUUUUUUUCCCUAUUACAGGUUUUCUCAUUGUUGAAGGAACUAGAGUCUCUCACAAGAGAAAUUCUAGAAUACAUCAGAUGUAAUACAACCAAUUAAUGCAUGUAUGAUAUGUGUAGUUGAAUUUUAUAUAAUCAUCAAUUACAUGUUGAUUCUCAAAGUAAUUGCACAUAUGUUAAAACAUCAUUUACUUGUUGUACAUUAGAUAUAAUACAACCAAUUAAUGCAUGUAUGAUAAGUGUAGUUGAAUUUUAUAUAACCACCUAUUACAUGUUGAUUCUCAAAGUAAUUGCACAUAUGUCAUAACAUCAUUUGCUUGUUAUAUGACUGACAUAGUACCUCAGAGAUAUUUCAGAAUUUUUCCUCCAACAAUACUCAAUCAAUGGUAAAGUUUAAAUUAUGUCAGAAAAAACAUUUGCACAAUUAUUGCUAUUUCAAACAUAGAAAUGUGAAGAGUAAUAUAUUUUAUGGAAUUUUCUCCGUUAAUUCUUAAAAUUACUACGUGUACAUGUGAUGAUUGCUUGCUACUGUGUAAGGUGAAACAUUUAAUUUGAAGAAGAUUAAUUCCUUCUAGACUGGUAGUAUAGGUCGUUGCUGCCCUGUCGAGGAAUUCUUAUUAGCUUGAAACCUAUCGCAAAUGUCAAUGCAAAAUGGCUUCAAGGUUUUGUUGUAGAGCUGACGACAAGCUUCUAAAAACAACAUACCAUAUUGGUACACAACUACAAUAAUGGUAGUCCCAAUCCAUGCAGUGUACAAAAUGAUAUGGUCAAUAUUAGAACGUGGAACAAAUGUAAAGACCAAAGAGAUUGCAGAAAUAGAUCCUAAGACAAUAGCAACAAGGCUCCACAACUGGGAAGAAUUUUCUCCAUGAAGUCGAGAUCUCAGGUCAGCUGAAUGUGCAUAGCAAUAUACGACAGUGGCUAUCCGAAAAGACCAUAUGUCCGUUGAAUGUGUUUCAGGCAAGGGCUUAGUUUGGUCUUGCAUAUGACAUGGAGCAGAAGAGAUUUUACCCACUGCAAAAUCAUAAAAAUGCAUGAUUAACCAUCUUCUGUAUAUCCCAUUUCCUUUGAAAAAAAAUAAAUGAAACUUAAAAAGACCUUGUAUUAAUUUCCAGUCAAAUUGUCUAUCAAUUAAUUAUUUGCUUUUGACAAAUGCAAUUCUCAUCUAAAAAUUUGAGGGAGCGCUUUUCUAUUUUCAUUAACACAUACGAGAUAUUUUUCAUUUGCGUCCAAAUGUUUCAUCAAAUUUUAUUGUGUGCACCUCUGUCCUCUGUUUCAACAACUCUUACGGCUCAUCGUUUCUGUUAAAAAAUAUUGUUGCCGUUAAUUUUGACAAUUUUGAUGUUAAAAGACAAUUUUACCAGUCAUUGGAAUUAGGUGUAAAAUUACCAGAAAACCACAGCACUUGUUUCAAAUUCCAAUUUUGACCUAUGUGGAUAUUAAAAUUUCUUAAAGGUUUGAAAAAAAAAAAAGAAUUGUAAAAAUGUUUUCUUAUGGGAAUCAAAACAUCCCCUCUACCAUCAUCCAUAAUCAUAUAUUCUUGAUAAUGAUCUAAUAAACUUGAAAAAGCAAGAAAUCCAAUCCUAAUCAAUAAAACAAUCAAAUUUCUUCAUAAAGUUUAGCUCUUGCUUUUGAAAAUUCCAAUUCUUGAGACUCUAAAUAAACCGAUAUUCAAAAUUACAUAUUUCUAGAAUGAAAAAUCUUCAAUUUAUCCCUUUAAUUUUUUUAAAACAUCUUUAAAUUUUUGAAAACAUCUAUUUGCCUCUAUUUAUCAGUCAAAAGAUUAGGAUAAAUGGAAGCGCGUUGAUGACUAACUUUUUAUCUACUUAAUGGUAUUUGAUAAAUAUAGCUAAAUUGGGGUAAAUUGAAAUUUUAUUCUACAUUUAGAGUGCUUUAAUAAGAGAAAGAAAGAAAGCAGCAAACCUGGUCUAUUUAAAUAAUAAUAUUAUUAUUAUUAAAUAAAUAAAUAAAAUUAACAUGCAAACUCAGCUUGAAACUUGGGAGAAAAAAAUAUGUGAAUUUUAUUACAUGCUGAUUCUUCAAAUUAAAAUGUAAACACACUCAAUAAACAUUAGACAUAAUACAACUAAUUAAUGCAUGUAUGAUAUGUAUCAUUGAAUUUUAUUACAUGCUGAUUCUUCAAAUUAAUUGCACACAUAUUAGAAAAUCAUGAGUUUGUUGUAUGAUGGACAUAGUAUCUAAAGAUAUUUUAAAAUUUUUCCUCUGAUAAUGCUCAAUCAAAUUAAGGGUAAAGGUUAAAUUAUGAUAGAAAAAGUCUUUGAAUAAUAUUGAACAAAGCAUUUACUUGUAUACUAAAAGAAUGCAUAUGAGGGGCCAAAAAGAGUGAAGAUAUGAGUUUGACUAUUAUCACAUCAAUUAUUACUAUUUAAAACAUAGAAAGAUGAAACUAACAUAUUUUGUGGAAUUUCCUCCGUUACUUACUUAAAAUUACUACGUUACAUGUGAUGAUUGCUUGUUAUUGUCUAAGGUGAACAUUUAAUUUGAAAAAGAUUAGUUCCUUCUAGAUAGGUAGUACUGAUUGUUGCUGCCCUGUCGAGGAAGUAUUAUUAGCUUGAAACCUAUUGCAAAUGUCAAUGCACAAUGGCUUCAAGGUUUCGAUAUAGAGCUGAUGACAAGCUUCUGAAAACAAUGUCCUAUAUUGAUACACAACAAUAAUGACAGUGCCAAUCCACGCAGCGCACAAAAUGAUAUGGCCAGUAUUAGAAUGUGGAAAAAAGGUGGAGAUCAAAGAGAUUGCAGAAGUAGAUCCUGAGACAACAGCAACGAGGCACCAGAACUGGGAAGAAUUUUCUCGACGAAGUCGAGACUUGAGGUCCGCUGAAUAUGCAUAGCAAUAUAUGGCUGUGGCAAUGAGAAAAGACCAUAUAUUUAUUGAGUGUGUUUCAAGCAAGGGCUUAGCUUGGCUGGCUUGCGCAUUUGCACCCACAAUGCCGAUGAGAGCCGGAAUGAGAUAUCCAAAAAUAUUGGGAUAUGACAUCGAGUAGAAGAAAUUUCGCCCACUGCAAAUCAUUAAAAUGCAUGAUUAACCAUCUUCUAUAUAUCCCAUUUCCUUUGAAAAAAAAAUAAUGAAUAAAACUUAAAAAAGACCUCGUAUUAAUUUCCACUCAAAUUGUCUGUCAAUUAAUUAUUUGCUUUUGGCUGAUGUAAUUCUCCUCUAAAAAUUGAGAGAGCACUUUUCUAUUUUCAUUAGCACAUGUAUAUGAGAUAUUUUUCAUCUGCGUCCAAAGUUUUCAUUAGAUUUUAUUGUGCGCGGACUUGUUUCAAUAACUCUCAUGACUCACCUUUUUUGUUAAAUAUUGUUGUUGCCAUUAGUUUUGAUGAUUAGUGUAAAAUUAUUAGAAAACCACAACACCUGUUUCAAAUUCCAAUUUUGACCUACAUGGAAAUUAAAAUUUCUUAAAGGUUAAAAAAAAGAGUAAAAAUGUUUUCUUAUGGGAAUCAAAAUAUCCCCUCUACCAUCAUCCAUAAUCAUCUAUUCUUAAUAUUAAUCUAAUAAACCGAUAUUCAAAAUUACAUGUUUCUAGAAAGAAAAAACUUCUAUUUAUCCCUUUAAAUUUUUGAAAACAUCUAUUUACCUCUAUUUAUCAGUCAAAAGAUUAGAAUAAAUAGAAGCGUGUUGAUGACUAACUUUUUAUCUGCUUAAUGGUAUUUGAUAAAUGUAGAUAAAUUGGGGUAAAUUGAAAUUUUAUUCCACAUUUAGAGUGCUUUAAUAAGGGAAAGAAAGAAAACAGAAAACAAAUCCCUUCGAUACGAGGCUUAACAAAAUUUUCAGCAUGGACCUAACCAAAUUUUUUUCGCGCAAAUUAAAUUAGGAGAACAAAAAUAAUUUGAAAUGGACUGCAUAUGUAUACUCAAAAAUAAUAUACAGCUUGAGUCAAUAAUGGUAAAGAAAAUGACCAUACACCGAAAGGUUUGGAUCUGGAUGAUGCAGAAUGCAGUGGCAGCUUUGCAUUUGCAGUUAUAUACCUCGCCAAACCCUGGAUUGGGUUUUCUUUUUCACGGCAAAUAAGGCAGGGACAAGCAAACCUGAUCGAUUUUAGAACAAAAAUAAAUAAAUAAAUAAAAGUAAAAUGUAAACUCAGCUUGAAACCUGGGAGAAAAAAAUAACAAUAACAAAGUAAAAAAAAUCACUUACUUUAAGAACAUCUCAAUUAUCUCAUGGAUUGGGUAUUUAUACGGGCAAAAUGAGGGUCAAUUGAACCCCAAUGUAAUCCCGAUUCCGGAACACGUUUGGUCAAGCUCAAGUGCGGCCGAAUGGGGAGGGUUUCCUAGAAAGGUAGCAAGGUAGUCCCCCUUAGAAAGUGAAAAUGAAGCCUAUCCACAAUCAUAGGGAUGCAACACAAGGUAGAUUUUUUUUUUUUGUUAGAUGUAGAAAAUGAUUAAAGAGGUCCCAUCAAGUUCAGCGGGCAAGGGCCGCUCGGUAGCUACACGUGAAGAGGGGCCCCCCAGCGCCCCGGCGGUGAAAUUUAAGUGGUACGGUCCCAAUUAAAAUGUGAUUAACUUAUCAAAUAUCAAGAUCUUUUCCAAUAAGGACAUUAGUUUUGCAUUCGUUCGUCUCAAAUAGGUCCCUAACCUUGUAUGACGACUAAGAUACCCUUAACCCGUUGGACCAAUCUACCUUACAGAUUCUGUAAGUAACGGCCUGUGAGUUGACAAGAGGAUAUAUGGAUGCGUAGCACGUGGACGGCGGAUGGAAUGGGAUAUUAUAUAUGGAACCAGACAUUCCGGUUUUCUUCGGGUGACAAAAUGAAUUCCUUCCCGGUUGCUGACCGGUAACCCAUCACUGAAAGUGGUAAAAAAAAUUAGGCUGAUGGGCCGUGUAUUGAAAAUCCAAAUAUUUGCAAUUUGAUAGUGGAAAAAUGUUGGUGGUUAUAGGCUUCCAGCGUAUCGAAUUAUUAUUCAGACUCGUGCAUAUAGCAAGUGAGGCGACGUUGCAUCUCCUGCAACAGCAUGGUGUGAAAAAACCCCUUCAAAAUAUUUUCUCACUUUGGAUCCACGGUGUGUGAUCCAGUUUAAGCAAUCGCGGCUGCCUCGGAGGUAGCAUGACCUAAACUGUUUUUUUUUUACCGACACCAACCUAAUUAAAAUACAAUUAAUUCUGUAAAUUUCUCCAACCACGUGUCCUUUUGUUACUUCUCACAUCCGGUUGCACAUUAACCAUUAAAAUCGGUUUCCCCAUGCUUUGGGUUUUCUUUCCCCUUAUUUUUCUGACCGUUGCCAACCCUCCAUCUUUCUCUAUCCACAUUCAACGAUUGAGAUUACAGGUCUGUUACUUACAGAAUCUGUAAGGUAGACAGGUCCCUUAACCCGUUGGACCAAUCUACAGGUCUGUUACUUACAGAAUCUGUAAGGUAGACAGGUCCUUAACCGUUAUAUGAUUUACACACUUGCCGUUUUGUUCUGCAAAGGAGGACACCACCCGUUACCUCAAAGCCUUUGAGCUCAGUCUGAGGGCACAUAAAAGGUCGCUUGAAGACCAAGCGGAGUUGAUGUGAUUGUUGGGUUGCCGCAUGGCUAAGAAUAAGAAAUUUCGCCGUCAAAAUGAAACGUAUCCUGUAAUAUAUAAUAUUCAUUUAUCAGUGAAGUAAAUAUACAGAAGGUUUACGGAGUUGCAUUAUAUGUAUAUUUAGCUAUUAUCAAAUGUCAACAGUAAUCAUUGGUAUUAAUUCUUGUAAAAUUAAGUUCUUAUCCACUUUCCCAAAAAAAAAAAAAUCUUAUUCAUUAUUCAAAGGCUUCCGAGUGCAUUUGGUGUUAGUUUUAUUCAUAUGUGAGAGUACAUCUUGCAUAUUAAACAAAUGAGUAAUGAUAUAGUAACAAACUCUUGUACAAACUUAUUUUGUACACUCUUGUACAAACUCAUUUUGUACACUCUUGUACAAACUCAUUUUGUACACUCUUGUACAAACUCAUUUUGUAUAAACUGAUGUGGUAUGAUAAGAUUGGUUGAAUUAAAUAUCACUUGGCCCACAUGAUUUAUUUUUAUUAUUUUAUAUUUUCAUUCAACCAAUGAAUUAAUAUCACGUUAGUUUGUACAAGAGUUUGUGGUUGUAUCAUCACUCUAAACAAAUUGUUAUUUAGUCCCGCCCUUAUUUGAUCAGAGUGGACCACGGUGGUUUUUUAACUCCGAAUAUUUAAGCACAAAUCAUUUUUAAAUAGUGAUUUACGAAUAUGAAUGGAAUUAAUUCUUCCAUACUGUUCAUGUUCUUAGGAUAAUUGUGGAAUUAGUUCAAAGAAAGCAAAAUUUCCUAAUUCACAAAUUUUGCAUUUUAUUAAAGGUUGGGAUAGUAUUUACAACAUUGUAAACUGACUUUCAUAUAACAACGUUAUAAAACGGUAAAAACGAUAGUUUACAAUGUUAUAAAACAAUGAAAAAAAAAAAUAGUUUACAAUGUUGUAAACACAUCCUGCACUUUAAUAGCCCGAGAUUUUUAGACCGGAAGCAGACACUUCAAAAAGUAAUGAUGUUUAUUUAUUUUUUUCUGAAAAAGGAUACCGACAACUCUUGAUUUAAAAAAUGAUCACAUAAAUUAAUCUUUUAGGAUAAUAUCACCUUUGAUUGCAAUAACCCAACUGUAUUUCAUCUGAUCAUAUAUAAUUAUAAAAAAUAUAUAUAUAAAGGUUGUUUUCCCUUUGACUGCUAAUCACACGAGCCUCGUUGAUCUUUUGCUGGAAUGAUGACCAGAGGAUGGUAUUUUUGCCUUAUUUGUGCUUCUGGGUGAAGCAAAAUAUUGGUAGCAGGCUUUCGCUUAUACGUCUGAUGUGCAGCAGCCAUACACACUGUUGUGAUUGUAGAAAAGAGGGUAUCGCUAAUCCCUGUGGCAUUCGAUGACUAUUAUUAUCAAAACAAGUAUAAAAUUUGACGAAAAUAUCGCAACAAUUAUUACCUUAAAUAAAAUUUAACGAAAAUAUAUAUCAUUGGUAUUCCAAAUAUAGAAAUCCGAACAUAAUAAAAAUAUUUCAAUCCAGAAUCACAGACUUGUUUAAGUCUGAAAAAGUUAUGAUUUGAUAGCAUAAUAGUCGGAAAAGCUAUUAAAGUAUAAUAUUUUAAUAGUAUAAUGACAUUAUAUUAUAAAAUUAUACGUCUUAAUAACUUUUUAAAAUUAUAAUAAAGUUUAAAAUCUUAGAUUAAAUUAGUGCACGAACACAAAUAUAAUAUAAUUAAAUAUAUAUGUUUACGGAAUUUCUCCACUACAUUUCUUUUGUUGUUGUUCCUUAUCACUAGAGCUAUAACUUGACAUAGCCGCAAUGUUUAAAAUUAGUACACGCACCACGUGAUGAUUGUUACUAGCAGGUGAAACAUUUAAAGAAGAGUUAUUAGCUUGAACCUGUUGCAAAUGUCAGAGCAAAAAGGCUUUAAUGUUUCAUGGUGGAGCCGAUGACAGGCAUAAAUAACAAUGUGGGAUAUUGAUACACGAGCAACACGACAAUGGUAAUAGCAAAGCAAAUCCAUUAAGUGUGCAAAAUGAUGUGACCGCUGACCAGUAUUUGACCAAUAUUAAUAUCAGAGCGUUGGCUGUCGAGACCAAAGAGAGUGCAGAAACAGGCCCCAGCCCCCAAAAUCAGGAAGAAACUUUUCGAUGAAGUUGAGACCUCAGCGCCGGCCAAAUAUGCAUAACAAUAAAUGAUUAUGGCUAUCAGAAAAGGGACUCGCCUAUCGUGCAACAGAAGCACCAUACCACCGUUUUUAUCUUUUUUUUAUAAAAUUUUAUGAAGUCCUUUUCAUUUAUUCUUAUUUGAAUUUUUCUUAACAAAUAUUAAGUUCAUUUCUCCCAAAUCUAUGAAUCCUUCAACGGCCGAUCAAUAGCAAAUCGGCUCCUCUGGUGGCUGUGGUUGGUCAGAAAAGAUAGAGAGAACUGUGGAUAACAAAAUUCAAGUGGUGACGUCACCGGAAAUCAGAGAAACCACAGUGAAUUGAAGUGGAGAUUCUGUGACUUUUCACGGCUUCGAUCGACGGCUUUCUGAAUGUUUUACGACGACAAGGAUGGCAUGGAGAUGAUCGGCGUCGCACGAGCUUCCGAUCGGUACCAACCUUGGCCAGUGGAGUAGCCAGAAACAAACAAAAUUCGGGUUGGGUUGACCUAGUUAUUUUUGCGACAAGGAUGGCGUGGAGAUGACUGAGGUCGUACGAUUUUCUGAUCGGUACCAACCUUGGGCGGUGGCGUGGAUGGAAAUGGAAACGAAAUUCGGGUUGGGUUCACCGAUAUUUUGAUAAAGAGAGGGGGGUAUUGUGAUAAAUGUGCAAUAUAGAAUAAAAAUGUGUAAAUAGUAAAUAGUAUAAGGUGCUAAUUAUAAUGUUUAUAUGGAUGCAAUAGAAAUUAAUUUAAUAUUUAUGAGGUAAAGUUUAAAUAAAAAUGAAUUAAAGGGGUUCAAUGAAAUUUUACAACACUACUAGCACAAAAGACAAAACCAGUGAUACGAUACCACGGUGGUACCGCAGCUGGAUCCAAAAGAAAAGAUCAUAUAUUUACUAAGGUAAUUCUUAUCUUACAUGCAUGUAAGAUAGGGGGAUCCAUUUACUAAAUGUGUUUUAAGUAAGAGCUUAGUUUUAUCUUACGUAUUUGUAGUGUCGCAUUCAGAAUUAAAGCCUAAUAAGUAAUAGCAGCAAAUAUAAUUUCUUUAAAAAAAAUUAUUUUCCUAAAAUGUUUUACAAUAAUUUUGGAUAUAACAUACUCAUUUAAAAUGAUUUUAAUGAUGAUAAUUUAAUUUUCAGUAUAUAAUCUUAUAAAUUACUUAAAGUCGGUAGAGUAAAUUAAAAAUUUUAUUAGGACAAAAAAAUUUAUUGAAUUUUGGAAAAUAUUUUUUGAAAAAGAUUCAGACUUACGGGGACAACUGCCGCAGCUUGUCUUUACGUGACUCCACCAGUAUCGAUAUUUGCACCCACAAUGCCGAUAGGAGCUGCAAUGAGAUAUCCAAAAAUACUAAGGUAUGUGAAUAAAGAAAUCAUCUUAGACCCACUAGUCCUUUGAACUAAAACCACCAACCCACCUCAUUUUGACAACUCUUAACCGCAUAUCAAACAACAUGCGAAGAAGAAGGAUUUAGAAUAAAUAAAUAAAUACAAAGUUUUGCUCUUUUUUGCUACAAGAGGAGAAAAUUUGAAUUAGCUAUUUGGAAGAGAUAGGGAUGAUCGAACAAAAUUUUUCCCUUGGGUAUUAAUCAAUGGUCAUAACCCGGAUUUGAAAUGGAGAGUUUUUUUUUUUUUUGAUGACAUGAGACUAUUGUUUAAAUUACAACUCAUAUUACAUGAUAGUAUAACUGAUAUGUACAAGCAUAUAUAUAUACUGAGACCUGUUGAGAUCAAUGCUGAUAUGACAUCGCUCAUAUUUGUAACCCUCUCAAAUAGUCGAGGGACGUCAACUCCCAGCCUGGGAGAAAGACUGCCUUCACUCAAGCUCUGGGGCUCCAAAGAAGGACAUUUAAAUUAAACCACAGCAAUGCGUCUGCGGAGGCUCGAAUCACUUCCCUCACAUUUGUGAGUGAGUGGCUCUAGCCACUUGGGCUAAGCCCAAGUGGUUAAAUGGAGAGUUAAUUUCGCUGUUACCCAGAUUUGAAAGACAGUAUUAAGUGCAAUUUAUGUUCCAGCAGUUUAUGAUCGAAAAUGUAAGUGAAGUGAAGUCGUUAUUAUUAGGAUUUCUCUUGAUCUAAGUUCUCCUGAAUUUUUAAGAUGUGUAAGGUAAUAAUAUUGUAUGGAUGGAAUUUAAGUUCUUUAUUUUUUUUUAUUUUAAUCACCAAUCAACUUGUGAAUUUGAGAAAUUUAGAUCAGAAGAGGAUCUUAUCUCUUUGUAUUUUAGUGUCAUAAUUUUAAAAACUAAAAAUGAACUACAAUUAUAAAAUAAAAAUUGACAUUUUAAUAAUUUUGACAGAAAAGUAAAAAUACUGCAGAAUUUUUAUUAUAUAUGUAAUAAAUUAAAUCAACUUAAUUUUUAAACCACAAUUAUUAUUAUCUACCAAAUAUUUAGGGCCAUAGCUAACCUUAAUACUAAAUGGGGGCAUUCGGCUCCCACGAUCAAUCUGUUGAGGCUGCAUUGGUUGGAAUGUACGAUGAGGAUGGCAUGUUUUGUCUUAUUCGUGCUUCAUAAAUCAUAAUAAAGCCGAUUUUUCGUGGCAGACAUUUGAUUAAUAUCUCCUUGCGGUUUCAUAUGGAAAUUUGGGAUGUUACCAGCGUUGUGUUGUCUUAAUAUUUCCUGUAGUUUUGGCAACCCAGUACGCCACCUGUCAUCUUGUUUGCCCUCAAGGAUGAACAGAAGCCCGGUGCGCAAUGGGCAAAAGGAUUGACAGUGACUUGGUUUCAGGUACAAAUUGUCGGCAACAGCAAAUUAAAUAAAAUAAAGUAAUAAAUAGAUUAAUUCGAACAAAUUUAAAUUUUUAUUAAUAUAUUUUUCGUAUUUCAAGGAUUAAAUACCUCUCUAGUUUUUUUUUAAACACUUAUAUAUUACAAUAUUGAUAUUUACAAUCAAAAAUUUAUCAGAACUUAUCUGAGUAAUUCUAUUACAAUACAACCCAAAUAUCAAUAUUCACUAAAUUGAAGAGAGAUUUAUCUUCACUAUUAUUGAAAGGAAAUCAAUUCUACUUCAAUGUGGGGAGUCAGUUAACUCCCAUUAUAUAAGAAAACAAGUCCCAACGAUGACUCUAAGCUGAGACUUGAAUCCAUGCCCUCAAGGUUAUUUAUCAACUCUCUAGUUGAUAAAUAAUAUUCCAGAUUUUUAUUGUUAUAGUUGAUGCUAGUUAGUCCACAUAUAAAACUUAAAAAUUAAGAAUAGGAAUAAAAACUAGACACCAUUAAUUUAAACUAAAACAAAUAAUUUGUUCACUAACCAACCACAAGUUUACUAAGUCCAAGUACACGUUAAUCACGACCAAUAGGAUGAAUACAGUUUAAAACAAAUAAAAAUAUAGAAUUAGGGAUCGUAACACUCCUUCACCUUAAAAGUACUCUUUGCCGUCAAGGGUGGACUUUGUUAAGGAGUCUUCUCUCGUCAACAUACUUCUCCGAAUUUGACCACGACAACAUAAUAAUGGCUAGAGUCCCGUCACCGUCCAACCAUAAUGGCCACUUCAAGGCCAAAGGUUUUGCGUGUGUGCAUGCUUCUUGACUUUUUCAUUGGUGCAUUAAAUUUUGUUUUGUAUUCCGAAAUCAAGCAUGCAUGCAUGCUCCUUGGCUCUUUUCAUAUUCCACAAGGAUGCAUUAAUUUAUUUUUAUUUUUUUUGUUUGUUUGUGCGCCAGGGGUUACCAAUUACGAUCAUGAUUCUCUUCUGAUCUGAUUAUUUUCUAAGUAAAUAAUUUAAUCACUGAUUGAGUGUUAAUAAAUAAAAAAGUAAAAAAAAUUAAAUCUUACACAUACACUACUACUAAAAGACACAUGACAAAAGAUUAUUUAAAUCUCAAUAAUAUUCAGAUCAUGAGAGGAUCUUGUUCCUACUAAUUACUUCAUCGUUAGGAUUUGUUCCUUAUUAAUUGCUUAGUUCUGAUACCAAAUGUUACGGAAACAAAUUAUUUACAACAAUAAAUCAAAUAAAAUAAAAAGAACAAGUAACAAAUGGGUUAAUUUGAGAAAACCAAAAAUUUCAUAAAUAUAUUUUUAGCACUUCAAGAGAGCAACUACCUCUCAAUACAACUAAUCAGUUGCCAAAUAAUAUUCCAAAUUUUUAUUAUUGAGUUUGAUACUAGUUUCAAUAUUGGUUUGCUAAUAAAACUUAAAACUAAAGAAUAAGAGUAAAACUAGACACUACUAGCCUUUACUAACACAAAUAAUUAGCUAAUUAACGAACUACUAAUUUACUAAGUCCAAGUACACCUUAAUCACAACCGUUAGGAUAAAUACAAUUUAAAAUCAAUAAAAAUAUAAGAUUGGAGAUCGUAAGUCGUAACAGACUUCUAAAGAGAGUCGAGAGAAAAACUUACUUGGGACAAUCCAAAAAAUACUACUUGCAUUUAUAUGACUGGCCAAUUUGAAAACAUAUGAAUGCUUAGCUGUCAAAAUAUAAAUGGAUGAGCACACCACGUGAAACGUGGGCUUCUCCCACCUAAAUACUUCUCAAUCUGAGUAGGGGGAAAUGUCCGAAGAGUGACUCCAAAAUCUGCUUCUUAUGCUAAAAACACAUGUAUGAAUACUCUGAAUGAAUUAACAGAAUUUUAUACAUGCCAAAACCAACUAAUCAUAUGUAAAAUUUAUUAGCAUGCGAUUGUAUGGAUCAUAGUCUUGAGGCAGCUUACAAGGAUAACAAAAUAAUAGUGUGAGGAAAUAAGUUGCUGAUGUACUGGGUUUAAAUGCAAGAUAUGAAGAAUUCUUGGGGCUAUAUGUAGAUCGACUUCAGUAGGAGGGAUCUUGUUGCAAAUUUAUGCUGAUGUGGCAGAAUUCGUUGAGAGUUCGUUAUGCCCUUUCCAGAAAUAUCAGAAUAAAAGGCACUUGUGACUAGCCUCUUAUAUCAGAUCGAUAUCUUCUUCAUUUCAUGUUCAUUUUGCUUGCAAUUUGGUUCUUUGUGAUCCUUAUAAUUUCUUUUUGUUAAUCAAUCUGUAAUCCGAUUGUUGAGAUCAAUAAAAGAGCAGUUUUUUCCUUCAUCAAUUUGUGUACUUGAAACUGUGCUCUGAGUCUGAUUCUUGUGAUUGCUUUCUUGUGUUGAUUAAUCUGGUCUGUUUCUUUCAAGUCUGAUUCAUCAAAGUUCUUCACGAAAUAACUUGUGUAGCUAUUAAAGGUUAUAACAAAUAGAAUGGUGCAAUAAAAGUACAAUAGCUGAUUCACUAAGGCUACAUAUAACCAGAGAAUAUGGUCAAUAAACUGGAAUAACCAACUGUUCUUGAAUCAAGUCCCUCCCCAGGGUUCUCAAGAACAAAACCAAUGAAGUUUGUCAGGACAGCAAUCCAUCAGCUGCAGUGACCCAGUGGUUCAACGGUGGUUCAUUCCAUCAUUUACAUGUAUAACAGAUUAUCUUCCGGUCUUGGCGCGUUUCAUUCCAGCACUGUUGAAGGGCCACAUGCUAGGACUCAUACUCGGACUCAUGCAUGGACUUUCUUCUCUUAGAGUACCAUUCAGCGUAGCAAAUUCACGCAAUUGUUGCUUCUUGUAAUGAUCCAAGGAUUCAUCCUGCAUAAAGAGAUUAGUUUGAACAAGCGGGAAUUAGGAGAGAUGCUGAAGGAAAGAAUAUCGACAAAGUUCACAGAAAAUACAAGAGUUUUUUUUGUUCAUACCACAGGCUUCAAAAGGUUCUCUAGUAUCGCUACAGCAUGAUCCAAGCGGGAAUUUAUUAUAUCCUCUGGAAAUUCGGCCUCCCCUAACACGUGCAGUGGCUCAUUAAGAUGCUCAUAUCCAGGUUUAUCUUUAAGUUUUUCUUCCUAAAGAACCAAAAAGUAAAGAAUUAUCAAGAGAAACCAAGAUGGUAUAAUAAUGUAAGGCAACAUCGAACAUUAGGAAAUACGAAGAAAUGGUUUGCUAAUGCAAGACGCACUCUCCCAUUUGUAGAACACAAAGAACAUGAAAUGAGUCUUGAUUUCCACUUAAUAGAUAAACUAGUAAUAAUAUAAAUUCAUUUCCAGUACAUAUGCCAUCAAUGUAAAACAAAACUACUCAAAAUAUCUAGCUACUCCUACCACAACGAAAGAAAACCACCAUAAUCAUACCAGUUGUCUCCACGAAAAAGAAUUAUGAGGGGCCCAAAAAAAAAAAAAAAAGCUAUAGUUCAUCUGGAAAUCAUUAUUCCAAAGCAACAUAAUUUAUAUGUGUGUAAUUUCAUGCUCAGUACAUCUUUCUCCAGUUAAAUCAAUCAGCAAAAUGUCACAAUCCUCCAUUGAAUAUCAUAGAACUACAUCAUGCAUGAUCAUAAGCAAAUCUAGUCAUACCAUGACCAGUAUCGGUACUAAACUACAAAUUAAAGCAUCUGAUAGAUUGUUACAUAAAACCAGGAUAAUUACAGUGCUAAUCAAAUAACCCGAAUUGCAGAUUCCCUAAUCAAACAAACAUAACAAAAAAAUCUGAAUUACAUUUUUUUUUUUUUUAACCAGAGAUGCACAUUGGCAGCGGAUAAAAUUGAGCAUGUCCUACAAGUUAACAUGGUCCUCCUUUAGCAAGGUCUAGAUGGGAAGGACCAUAGUAAAAAUAAGAGGAAAUACUUUACUUCAUCUAUAAAUCCUACAAUUUAGUUGCAAGUAAAAUAACUCCAAUCUAAAACAUCAAAUGCAUAAGAUUCACAAGGCAAAAGCAGCUUUAGCUAUUAAAAUUUCACAUUCUCAUGCUUUAAGUGUUCAAAUCCACUUUAGCUUGAUUAGAUUGAAUCAGCAACUUAUUCCAAAAUGCACAGCUUCACCACAUUAUGAUAGAUCAGGCCUUUAAAGAAUCCUCGACUGAACCCCGUCCUCUAAUGAACACCCUACAUUCUGUCAUGGCUUCAAUUCUUUUUGAGGGAGUUCCCAUGCGUUCCCAAAAUCCGGCCAACAAAAUUAAACUGCUGUGUGUUUAAGUUAGAAACUAUUAUUAUAAGGAAUUUAAAUAUAUCAAUAUAACUACCUUUUAAAUUGGAAAGCAAAGUUUAAACUUACAUUUGGAUAUUUAUCUACGGUAACAUCAAGUCUAAUAACUCUCUUCACAACAGGUGUGGUUGGAAUUCCGGGAACACCUAGCCCGCCCAUUGAAGGAGGAGUUUGAAAAAGGGGCCAUUUUUUGAAUAUGCCCAUUUUCCUGAAUCAAGGCAUCUAAUGAUAUAAGGAUUCCUCUCUUCAGAAUGAUAUAAGGAAUCCUUUCUUUUAUGCUUGAAAACUUUAUCAUCAAAUCCAAAACAGCACAUGAUUCUCAAACUCGAUGAAACAAUCAAGAGCCCUCUAAAAAGUGAUGUGCAAGAUCCAAAACAGAAAGCUUAGUCAUUUAAAAAAUAGCAUUCAGCUAUGAGCAAUAAUAACUUAAAUCUUAAACAUGGAUGUAAUUUAUCUUCAGCUGACAGCUAGACAUACGAGGCAAGUUCAAAGAACAUUUCUCUUUUAUACCCAAAAAAAAAAUAGCUGAACUAGAAGAUACUCUCAGUUGAUUAGAGAAUGAGUAUAUCGAUCUAUGUGUGACAAUUUACUUUAGGUAUACCAUAGAUUCUAACCUUUGUUACACUAAAAGAUGGUCAUCCCCUCAUUUAAAAGGAACAUAGCGAUUAGAAGAAAAGCAUACAGUCAGAAUUCCAAGAAAUUGCAAUAUAGAAUUUUCUGGCAUCAAUCUCACAAUUACAGGAUAAAAAUACAUGGCAAGUAUAAAACCGUGAACAGGCAUUAUUAGCUCAGUUUGCGUUGUAGAUGAACCCUCCAAAUCCAUUGGUCUUCCAUUCGGCUGACCUGAUGACCUAAAUGGACUAUCAUGCUCAAACCCUUCAUGAUCAACAAAACUUGGAUUGCAACCUGUCGUUUGUCUGAUUAGGUAUACCAUGUAAUAUAUACAACUGAAUCCAGGUAAUAACUAACUGUGCUACAAAUGUCAAUGACAAAUAAAGUUCCUAGUUUUUUCAAAAAACUGCCUAGGCAGUGCCCACCCCGCCACACAAGUAGUCCAGGUAAUUUGCUCACGCUGUUGCCAGCCAAAGAACCAUGAAGAGGAAAAGCUGCAAGGAGCCUUUGCCAGGUUGGUCAGGAAGGGCUUCAAUAGAGUGUAACAUCUCAGUAGCUCAAUUCAUGUACCCCUAGCUGUGCAUGUAAGAAGAAAUGCUCUUCUGAAUAAAGUAUUGAUACCAGAUCUACUGUUGUUUCUUCACAACUUGUUAGGAA